AAAAAUUUAGUAAAAUAAUAUGUGUAUAUAUAUAUAUAUAUAUAUAUAUAUAUAUUUAUAUAUAUUUUAGGUUUCUAGGGUUUUUUAAAAAAAUCUAAAAACUAAGGGAUCUCCAUAUAAAUUAAUGAUGAAUAUGUGAACGGUUGAGAAAUGCUUUAAAGUAGUUCUUAAACCCUAUAUCUAAGACAUAUUGUGAGGAUUUAUGAGAAUUUUAAUGAGGAUAAAAGGGGUGAAAAUAUUGUGAAAGGAGGAUGAAAGGAUGGAGGAUUUCUUGCCACGUGGCAAGAAAGAUUAUGCUUUCAUUUAGAGUUAUAGAUAGAUUAUAGAUUAUAGAUUAUAGAUAUUUUGAAAUAUUGAAAAAAAAUAAUUGUUUCGGGUUCAAAUUUUCGGGUUCGGUUUCAGAUUUUUGGUCGGGUUCGGGUUUGGAUAUGGAUUUUUAAAAUCCGUCGGGUUCGGGUUCGGGUCUCGGGUUUGUAGUCGGGUUGGGGUUUUUAAAAGUCCUUCCCGAAUCCGACCCGUUGACAUCUCUAAUUCUGAUAGUUGGAAAUAUUCAGAAUAAAAGAGUGGUAAAAAAUAAAAAAUAAAAAAUAAAAAUUGGGAUAUACGUAUCAACAAUGCUUCCCACAAUAUUUUGCAGUAUUUACCCUUGGAAAGUUGCCAUGCUGAAAUUUAUCUCUGUAAAAUUUUAAAUUUACCCUUGGAAAGUUGCCAUGCUGAAAUUUAUCUCUGUAAAAUUUUAAAUUCUCUUAAAUAUGUUUUUAAUAGAGGAUGAAAAUAAUUGUUGGAAGCAGAAAACCCGUCUGAAGUCAAAUAAAACUUCAUAAUUGUUGGAAGCAAGAAAUCCAUUAAUAAAAGUCAAACAAGAAGAGUAGGUAAUCCUUAAUAAAGGACGUAAAAAAAUAGAUGACUGUGAAAAGACAUAUUUGUAAUUUUGUAUGGAUAGAAGAGUUAUUUUCGCCUCCUGGAAUAGGGGUGGGAUUAGCUAAUCCCACCCCCCCACCCCUAUUUAAUAUUUACAUAUAAAUAUAAAUUUUAAAAUUUUAAAAUUUAAUUUUAAAAUUUAAUAAUUUAAAAUUAAUAUUUAUUUUUAAAAAAUUUUUAAUUUUUAAUUUUUAAUUAUUAUUUUUAAUUAUUUAAAUUUUAAAUUUGACAUUUUAUAUUUGUAACUUGAUAUUUGAUUUAAAAUUUAAAAUUUAAAAUUUAAAAGUUAUAACGUUAAAUUUUUAAAUUUGAGAUUUAAAAAUAUAUAUUUUAAUUUUAAAAUUUAAAUUUUAAAGUUUAAAGUUUAAAUUUUAAAUUGCUAUUUUUAAUUAUUUAAAUUUUAAAUGUGACAUUUUAUAUUUGUUAGAUUUGAUUUAAAAUUUAAAAUUAAAAUUUAUAACUUUGAAUUGUUAAAUUUGAAAUUUCAAAAUAUAGAUUUUAAUUUUAAAUUUUUUAAUUCUAAAAAUUAUCUAUUUAAAUUUAAAAUUUUAAAUAUAAAAUAAAAAAAUUUAAAUUUAAAUAUAAUAAUUGGGACAAUAUCAUUAUUUUUCUAUUUAUAAUUACCCUCUAUUCUUAUUCCAUUUUAUCUAUCUAAACACUAUUUUUCUUAAUCCCAGGAACAACUCAAUUAUCAUCCAAAUGCAAAAUUGAUUUAAUCCAAACUUAACCCUGAACUUAACCCUAUCCCUGAAAUAACUAGUUUUUACUUAACCCCGAACCAAACGAAGCAUAUAGGUUAAAUACUUAACCCUAAUUUGUUUUUAACAUUUUUACCCCUAUGAUAUUUUUUUGGAAGGAAAUAUUUGUGAUGGUAAAAUUGAAAAAUAAACAGUUCAUUAACGAUAACAAACUAAAGGGAUAUAAUUGAAAAUAUCAGGACUUUUGUAAGGACAACAUAUGAAAGUUGAACUUUAUAGGAAUAUAUUUGUCAUUCACUAUAUUUGCAGGAAUAUGUAUGAAAAAUGUCCUCCAAUGUAGCAGAGAAGGGUUUAGAGAAGGAUAGGGGAAGGAGAUAAGCAAUAUUUCAUUUCAUCGAUAGGGAUUUUACAUUACACUUUGAUAUUUAUACUAUUUGGUGACUUGAACUGAAAGGAAAAUUAACUACUAUCUGAGGGCUAAACAGCAAAAGUGCUAAUAUGAGAUAUGGGCCUGAUGGGCUGCUAAUUCCGUGGUAAUCGGGCCCCCGUUGGCUUGACCGGUCCAUGAGCAUCAUGUAAUCGGGUGAUUGGAUAUCGGGCUUCCUUCUCCGCAUGAUCCUCAGAUGAGCGGAUAGCGAGUCCGCAUUUUACACCCGAUCCAGUAAUCCGACCGCCUGAUCCAUCAGUAGAGUGGUAACCGGGUAAGUGGGUUUCGGUCCUCUCUUCUUCGCACUAUCCACAGCCCGGCGGAUAUUGGGUCCGCCUUUUGGAUCCGCUCCGAAGAUCUGCCAAUUCGACCCACCGGCUUCCAUCUUCCCCAAUUGCCAAAAUCUGUCGGGCUUCCUCCUCCAACCACGAUCCUCCCAUUUCCCCUUCAUCACCGACUAUGCCCUAGAACUGUCGAGCUCGCCUGAGCCCCUUCGAAGGCGCCUUCCCGCCGGAGCUCCGCCCGAGCGCCUUCCCGCCGGAUCGCUCCGCCGAGCUCACUCCUCACCAACCUCCUGCUGUCACUUCUCUCCUCUACUUUGUAAAGUUGACAUUUUUACUACUCUCCCAUGCUAACUGCUACUACUACUACUACUUUUACCAUUUAUUCUUCAGGGUCAUUACAUAGAUCUGAGUGUUUGGAGAUGGGUAAAUCGAGCGCUCUCGAGUACAUCAACCAGAUGUUCCCAACAGGUUCGGCCAAUUUGAAUUGUUCUCUUAUUAGGGUUUUGUUGCUCUUGAUUGAUGCGAAUCUGCGAAUCUGAGUUCCUUUUUUGUAUGAUCUCGUCUAUCGACAUGCUCUUGUGCAACUCGGGACUUAAUCAUGUGUAUUCUUAUGUUUGAAUGAAAUUAAUAUACGCAUAUAUGCUUUUAGGGCGUGUUUUGGAUGCAUGAACAUCUUGUUCGGGAAAUGUCUUUUGUUUGGGUAGUGUUUGGUUGAUGAGAAGUUUGAGUUAAUGCCUACAAACGAAUCAAGAUAUAUAUAUAUAUAUUCUUUUGGUGAUAAAUUAGGUGAAAUAAGAUGGGUUAAAUCACGUCGUAGGUGAAAUACACGAUCCUAUCAUAAGAUUAUGGUUGCUAUGACCUUUUAAGGAGCUAAAAUCAAACUCUGAUUUCGAUAGUUACAGAAAAUCUUCAUCGCGUGUUAGUCAUCAAUACUGGGCCUUAGGGCAUGCUUGGAUGCACUGAGCAUCUUCUUCGGUACAUCACUUUUACUGUAAAAUACUAUUCUUAGUGCAUAUUUUUUUAUUAUAUAUAAUAUAAAAAAAAUUGAUAAUUUAGUAUUUAUGACGACUUGCUAACAUCAUUUAACCCAGUGGCUGAACCACUGGUUGAACCACUGACCCAUGACCCGGCAAUAUUUUCGGGUCAUAAAACGGUUCGGGGUUUUAAAUCAUUGGAAUUUUGGGCUCCGUCGAAAGAAAUAAAGUUAGUAUUUUGGCAGGUGUUUAGAGUGUUUUCAUGCCAAGAUUGUGAAAUUGCAAGGGCAGUAAUAGACCUUCCUAUAGCUUAGCUUCGCUGCUGCCUUUGAUGACCAGGUGGUCACGAUGACAAUAAAAGUUAAAUAAAAUGGAAACUAUACAAAAUUUAUCUUCUUUAAUAUUUAUUUUAGUUUUACUAUAUGAGAGCAUAAAACUACCGGGCUGCUUUAGCCUGGAUCUUAGAUUCUACAGAGUAGUAUGGUAACAACUUAAUAGAUGUUGUCUCUAAAUAUGUGUAGGUUAGUCUGAUAUAUAUCUCACUGUAACUACAUAUGAAAGAUGGUAUGCUAUUGAGCAUUUGAUGUUUCUUGAAUGUUCUUAUCUCUGUGGUGAGUUUUUCUCAUUUUGCUAUAUAGACUAUGAUAUCUUGAUUGAUUGAUAUAGUGAAGACAACUUAGAAUUUAUAGACUUGAAAUUAUUGGUUAUGCUUUUCAAAGAUGCAUAAUUUACCAAGACUAUGAAUCAUAACGUAAAUGCAGAAGCGUCAUUAUCUGGUGUCGAGCCACUUAUGCAAAAGAUACAAAGUGAGAUUCGCCGUGUGGAUGCAAGUAUACUGGCUGCUGUUCGUCAGCAGGUUGUAUUACUUUUCACGUUUUCGUUUUUAUGUAACAUUGAGUUUUAGAUUGUGAUUUCUACUUUGAAGUUUUUAUUACAUUAAGGUUAUUAGUUCCAACGAGAAAUUUGAAAAACUAGCUUUUGUGGAAAAGCAAAAUUCCCCCUCGUUAACAUUUCCAAUUAGUCAGAAUCCAGGAAAAGAGAGUGAAAAUGUUUCACUUCGCUUCUUUUCUACUUUUUAUGUGCUGGAAAUGCAAUGUGAAAAUUCCUUCUUUUACUGUUGUAAAACCAUAAAUUUGUUGCAUACCUUAUUUUACACAUUCCCAGCAUCCAAAACUUUGUACAACAGUUUUUCACUUCAAAGAGGUGCCCUGGAACCUAAACAUGCUUAUCUUUUACUUGAAUUUGUUGCUAUGAUCAUAUACUUGUUAAUAAUACUUAGUUUCGUACAAUAAUCUAUGCGCAGAGUAACUCAGGCACAAAAGCCAAGGAAGAUCUUGCUGCGGCAACACAUGCUGUUCAGGUCUUUUCCUCUCCUGCCUUGAUAAAACAUCUUUGUUUUAGUAUCAAUGUCUUGAAAAGAAAGAGGAUUAAGUGAUCGCUAAUAGUUUUGGUUGAUUUAAUGCUUUUUGUUUCCCCCUAGCUUAAUGAUUAGUUGAUAUGUUAAGAAAUACUACUUUUUUUUUUUUGUCUUUUAACAUACAGGAGCUUAUGCACAAGAUACAUGAAAUAAAAGCAAAAGCAGAACAAAGUGAAACAAUGGUUCAAGAAAUAUGCCGUGACAUUAAGAAACUGGAUUAUGCCAAGAAGCAUAUAACCACCACAAUUACUGCUCUUCACCGACUUACCAUGCUAGGUCAGAAUUUUGUUAGUUAAUGCUUGAGAUAUCUGGCUUUGGAACUUCACAGCUGCAGGAAUAAAUGAGACAUCACAACCCCAGGAAUAAAUGGAACUUCAGUUUUUGAUUAAUUUUUAAGUUCACCAAUUUUAGAGUUCUUUGUAUUGUUUGUAAAUCUUGUGUGUGCAUGGCCAGCUACGAAUGGCACAAAAUUUGUUUCAUAUGACUCAUUUAAAAUUUUGGUACAUUAUUUCAACUUUUGCUUAAGAAGCAAAAUUAAUGGUUAUGAAGGGUUGGUAAUAAAACAAUACACGGUUGUUGUGUCCUUUUCGGUUGUUAGUAUCUCAUGUUAUAAUUACGUCCUGAACAGCCUGUCAUCAAAAGCAAUAUGUUUUUUAAAUAGAUGUGUAUAUGGUAUCUCUGAUUGAACUGAUUCAGUUUAUUCUACUAUAGCAUUAAUAAAUGAUGCUUUAGUUGGUCAGAAACCAAGGAUUAAAGUGUUGUGGCACGUGGGCAUGCUGGUUGUCGCCUGUCACGGUACGGCAUAGGCACACCUCCGUGCCGACACGUGGCACACUUGCCUGUUGAUGGAUACGCAUAACCUCCUAGUGGCACGUUUUGGUAUGGUUUUUUUUUUUUUUCAAUAAACCGCUAAAUGCCACUUUGAAAGAUUUAAAAAGAUGAUUAUAAAUAUUGGCUAUAUAUAGUUUACUACACUUAGCAAUUAAAAUAGCAAUAGGUUUUUUAUAUAUGUAAAGUAAAAUAUAGCUAUAGCUCAUGGAGAAUAAAAUAAAAAAUAGAUAAACUUUGAAAAUUCUUUUGAUUUUACCUUUCUUCAGAAGUUAAAAAAAUUAUAAAAUACAAAACUAUAGAAAAUUAUUUUUGAUUUUUUCUAUGGAAUUUGGAAGAUUUAUCCAUAUUGAUUUUGAUGCGAGGUUGCAUAAUGACUAGAUUAACUAGAAUAGCACUACAAUUGCUCCAAUAAUUUCUUUUAAUUUUGAAUCUUUUAAAAAUAUUUAUUAAAAAUUUGAAGAAAAAAUAAUUUUUAUUAAAAUUUUUAAGAACAAUUGUGAGAUUUAUUCAUAAAAAUUUAACAAUAAUUCAUAUGAUGAAUUAAUUAAGCAAAUUAAAUAUCAAUUGCUUCAGUUUAGUUUUUUAUUUUAUUAGUAUUUUCCAUCUUCUAAAUUCGAAAAUAGAAUUGGGAAAGUUAAAAAAAUUUUGUCGUAAAUCUCAUACACAAUGCUAAAUUCAUCCAAAAUAAUUAAAAAUCGGACUACAUAAUAACUUAAUCAAGUAGAUCAAAAUUUUUAAAUUUUUGUAAGUUAUAAAUAAAAAAUUGCAUAAUUUCAAAUUUCUUCAAAACAAGAACUUUACAAGUUAGAACUAUUUAAAAUGUACGAAAAAUAAUGUAAAAUUGUAAAUUUUUUUACUUAGUAAGUACAUCUUCGAUUUGCUAUUUCUUUGCCUUUUCUCUGAAGAUUGAAGUGAUUAAAAUAGAAACAAAGUAGAAAUAGAAGAAAUUGAAACAAGAAAUUAGAGAAAAAUUUAUUAUAAGAAAAGGGAGGAAAAAAUAGAAAGAAAAAAACGAAGAGCUAGCGAGAAGAAAAGAAAAGACUGAAAGAGCGAGUUGCGGAGAAGAAAAGGUAGAAGAGAACGAGAUAGAGGGAUAUGUGUGUGGCAAAAAAAAAUCUAUAAGUAGGACCAAACCAAAAAAAAAAAAGAAAAAAAGGGGUUAAAACUUAAAAUGCUGCGUGCCUUUAUAGGCGUGCAGCGGCACUGUGCCGCGAUAUCCAAAGGGUGUGGCUCUAUCUCACAUGAAACCCUUUGGGUAUCGCAGCACAGAGGAGCCUAGAGAGAUGCCCCCUGUACCGUGCCCUUUAAUUGGUGGCACGGUAUGUAUCACCCGUGUCGACUGGCACGGAGCGAUAACCUUGUUAGAAACCAUGUGAUUAAAUUUUCUGUUGAGUUUCAAAUAUUUAGAUAUGGUGCAUCCAUCUUAAACUUCUGCAACCUCUACAAAUUGCAUACUAGUAUGUGUCUUCAUCUGUAUAUUCAUAAUGCAUCACUUCUCUUGAUGACAGUCUCGGCUGUUGAGCAACUUCAAGUAAUGGCUUCAAAACGUCAGUAUAAGGAGGCAGCUGCCCAGUUAGAGGUAACAUGAAAGCUAAUUGGUACAUAGCUAUCUAACUUAAACAUUUGCCAAGGUGUUCAAUGAAUUUAGAACAUAGGUUCUCAUUGCUUAAGUUGUAGGCUAGGGCGCGUUUGGCUGCAUGUAAAAUGUUGAAAAUGAUUUUAGUAAAAUGUUGAAAAUGAUUUUAAAGGAAAACAGAAUUUUCAUGGAAAAGAAACUAUAUUUAUUAGCGUUUCAUUUGGCAUGAACUGAAUAUAGUUUUGAAGGCAUUCACAUUUGAUUUGAAGGAGAAGAAAGUAGAGAGAGUAAUAGAGAGUGAAGAAAGACGGACAUUUUCAGUUUACUAGUGGUGUUUUCUGCCAAAAAUAUCCGGAAAACAAAAAUGAAUGUUUUUCCUGAAAUACGUAAAGCCAUUUUCCUUGGAAUGUGGAAUCUAACACUUAGAAAAUUCUUUUUCGGCUUUUUCGGCCUGCAAAUUGCUUUUGGGCCUAUUUUACGUGCAAACAAACACCCCUAAUUUCUUCACUAUAUAUAUUUUCUUUACAAGUAGUUGAAUUUCCUUUUUUCUUCAGGCUGUGAAUCAGCUUUGCAGUCACUUUGAAGCUUAUAGGGAUGUUCCAAAGAUAACUGAGCUUAGGGAGAAGUUCAAAAACAUCAAGAAAGUAUUGAAAUCACAUGUAUUUUCUGAUUUUUCAAGGUAUGAACUGACAGAAACUCCGAUUAGUUUAAGGUUGUUCAAAUAACAUUUAUAUUAGUUACAAUGUACUUUUACUGGUGACCGUAAAUACUAAGAAUAUGAGCCCCUCUUCAUAUAAACUUCAAGCCAAGAGAGAUUUUGUUGGUAGGUAAUGAAAAACUAUCAUAUUCCAUUUCUUCUGUAAAUUGAAAUUGAAAUUGAAUUGUGAAAAUGCAGUAUUGAAGAGAAAAUGUUCCGACUAGGAUAGGACUAAGAUUAUGGAGCAGGUGGUGGCUAACCAAAUGGUAUAGGUUCGGAGGAAAUGGAAUGAUUGCUUCAUGAAUAAGUAAAGGACUAGAGGCACAUGAGAAGAUUGAAGAAGUAUGAGCAUUAUGAGGUUGAGAUAAAUUAUGUACCUGUAGUUGAGUGAAUUUGGGAAAAUAUGCCUUUCCUCUUUCUUCCCUAGCUUUCAAAUGCCAUCACCAGCCAUUCUGCGUUGCAACAUUAGGUUUUUUGUUCAGAAUUGUUAGCUACCCAUCCUUAGAUCUUCUUGUGAUUCCAACAUAAUUGCUUUGGACUAUUAAACUUGUAUAACUUUCAAUGUCUAAUUUCAGCUUAGGAACUGGAAAGGAAAGUGAAGAAACCAACCUACUGCAGCAAUUAUCAGAUGCUUGCCUGGUUGUUGAUGCCCUUGAGCCAUCUGUUAGGGAAGAAUUAGUAAAAAAUUUCUGCAGUAAGGAGCUUACAUCGUAUAAGCAGAUCUUUGAAGGAGCAGGUCAAACCUUGCUUUGCUACUUAGAUUCGUCUCUUCGAAGUUUAUGUAUCAUGACACAAAUUGUGAGCUUUCCUUUUUUAUUUUAUCGUGUCUAAACAGAAUUGGCCAAAUUAGAUAAGACUGAAAGGAGAUAUGCAUGGAUUAAGCGUCGGUUGCGAACAAAUGAGGAAAUCUGGAAAAUUUUUCCACCUGCUUGGCAGGUUGACUAUCUGCUUUGUAUCCAGUUUUGUAAGCUAACGAGGUUUGUUCGUCUUGAAUCCCUUUCUUUGGCUUCCAUUGUGUCAUUUCUUUAUGGAUCUACAUUAAUUACUUGAUUCCUACAUUUUAAGGAUUGUCCUUCUUGUUCUUUUGGAAGUUUUCGUUUCUUCUGUCUGUGGAUAAUACUCAACAUAGCUGCAGAUGUAUCUGCUUUAUGAAGGUUUUGAUUGCUUAUAAAAUACUGAUGAUCUGUGUGAAGAAAUUCCUUAUGUCAUGUUAGUUGUGUUAACAGUGGCUUUUCAUUCAUCGCAUCUAUCACUUUCAAUAUGACUCCCUUCUUUAAAUUUCAGGACACAACUUGUUGAUAUUCUCAACAACCUCAGAGAAAAGCCAGAUGUUGGUACUUUGUUACUGGUAAUUUUCUUACUUAUUUUGAAUAUUGGAUAUUUGGUUCUUUAUGCUCUGUAUGGAAAUCAGCAAAUCCUUUAGGAUAUCUUUUCUCAGUCAACAAAGAAUUGCAAGUCUAUGAAACUGGAAAUAUGACAAUUUUUGCUCUAUGUCCGUGUCCAGUUUACACCAUUCGGCUUUCUACGAUGUGUCUCACUUUUUUCAAGUAAUUUACAUCGUGAUAAUGAUCCUUCAAUGGUUGCUUACAUUGCAAAUAGUGUUGUUCUCAUUUCUAGGGCGGAGGCAAUUGGAGUAGUUUCUUUUUGUUACUGAUGACUUUUUAAAGGUGAACAUAAUAGGAAUUGGGAUUUUUAAAUGUCGACAGUUCUUGAAAAUUAGCAUCUUUUUGUUACUAUAUUGUGCAAGCAAACCUCUUCUUUGGCCUUUAUAAUAUGUAAACCUUUAUAUCUAUUCAUUGGUGUAUGUUAUGCGAUUGUGAUUUAUUGAAAUAGCAAGAUAUACAGUAAGUACCUGUAAAUGGUCUCAUGUUAAAAUUUCACAAAGAAAGCACUAUAUGCCGGCUCUUAUAGCCUUUGUUUUGUAUGACUCCACAUUUUUAGGCACUGCAAAGAACCCUUGAAUUUGAAGAAGAGUUGGCGCAGAAAUUCAGUGGAGGAACUACACACUCUAGAAACAAGGAAUUGGGAAGUGAUGAGGAAGAAGCUGACGAGGGAGAAAAUCGUAACAAAAUUGUUUCUGAUAUACGGAAGAAAUAUGAAAAGAAGCUUGCGGUUCCUCGUGAUGGAACUGAAUUGGUAUGAACUAAGUGGUUUCAAAUGUUUUAUGGUUCAUGCAGUGGGUUGUCCACUAACUUAAACUCUACCUCAGGAGAAAGAAAAGCAUAAAGAUUUGUCGGUCCCCGGGGCUGGUGUAAGUAAUCUAGCUUUUCACACAUUUCAUUUCUCUCAUUUGAUGUCUUAACCAUGUUGUUAAGACGCUGAAACGUUCUAGUAAUUUUUUAAUUGUUGUUUCGCAGUUCAAUUUUCGUGGUAUUAUUUCAUCUUGCUUUGAAGCACAUCUGGCAGUGUAUGUGGAGCUAGAGGAGAAGACCUUGAUGGAGCAUUUGGAUAAACUUGUUCAGGUACAUGAAACAGGAAAUAUGUAUUGAGAUGGCGUAGUUUCUUUUCUCUUGCUAUGUAUCUCACUCAACUGACUUUGUUAUAGGAAGAAACUUGGGAAACUGAGGAGGGCAGUCAGACAAAUAUAUUAUCAAGUAGCAUGCAGGUAAAUAGAGAGCUUUUUUUUUUUUUCUUUAAUCCAACUUUGCUGCCCUUCUUCGACAGAGCAGGUGAAGAGAGGAAAUUAGGGGCUUAAAGAGGUCUAGAUAAGACAUAUUAUAUUUAAUUAUUCUACUUUUGCUGGAGCUGAAAGAUGAACACAGAUCAAGGACCUGAAGAAGUUGUACUAAUGUCCUGGAUGAUGCAACAUGCUACCUAAAUUGUGGAAUGCCUAUGUUGCAUGACCUAAUAAUACACUCUAGUCUCAGCAAGAUGAACUGAUAAUGGAAAACAUAGAGGAGCGACUAUUGGAAAAUUAGAGAAAAAGCAAUGUUUUAGGAGUAAGAAACCAAGUUUAGAAGACUUAUAAAGAUACGUACAUAGAGGAAUCAGUUAGCAGUUUACACUUAUGUUGUUAAUUGUGAAUGACAAGUAAUUAUGGGCAUAGUAUUGGUAGAAAUCUAGAUGAUAGCUCUGACCAAAAUUACUGCCAUGCCAAGUACAUUCUUCAAAAUACUCCCAUACUUUUAAGUUGUUAAAAGUUAUAAAUGAUCUAAGAAUUGUACACCAUGAAAGGAUUUAAGUACCGUGGCAAAGGGUUGUGCCAAGCACUUGCUGGCAUGGUACGGUACAAUGCGUGCCAUGCUGUGCCAAAAUAUGCUGUUCACAAAAAUACUUGUGUGCCGACACAUUAUGACAUGAAAUAAUUAUUUUCUUUCACAUCAAUAAAUUCUAAUUGGUUAUUAUAUAUCUUUAUAAUAUCUUUUGCACCUUAUUGACGCAACCGUAUGCUAAUCUCAAAGAAAAUAGCGUUUUAAGCCGUGCCAUCAGCAUGGGAGCCAUGUCAUGCCGAUAUCUUGUUGGCACGGUACGGAAGGCUCGUGCCGAUGGGUACUUAAAUUUUGGCGGGAAAGGAUUCACAUUCAUAGUUGUUUGAGAUUUUGCUUUGGCUGUCUUGAAAAUGUGUUUCUUUGGCUAUGGCUUGAAAAUGUGUGAGAUAUCCUUCUGGUAUUUAUUUUGUUAUUUUGACAAUUCAAAUUAUGCAGGUAUUUCUGAUUAUCAGAAGAAGCUUAAAGAGGUGCAGUGCUUUGACAAAGAACCAGACAUUGUUCAACUUGUUUGAGGUUCAUCUAUGUCUGUAAACAUCAGAACAUUGUGGGCUUGUUUGGUUCAUCCAUUUUAGGUAUGGAAUGGGAAUCGGUUUGAUCAAAUCCGGUUAAUUUUGUUUGGUUCGUAUGAAUCGGCUUGGGAUUCCUAUUCCGGACUGGAAUGGGAAUGACCCAUUAGCCUUCAACUUGAUUCCGGUCUUCUAGCCCGGAUUGAGAUUUUAUUUCGGAAGCCCACUAAGUUCUCGAAGCCCAUGUGACCAUCUCAGCCUCCUUCUCUUCACCCCUUUCUCAUCAAAAAAAAAAAAUCUAUCCUCUCUCAAAACCCUAUCCCUAACCCACAUCAAUAAAAAUUUUUAAAAAUAAAUUUGAUAUUUUUUUUGGAAAACUUAUUAGAGAAUAGUAUUAUAUUUUUCAUAAAUUUUAAAUAAUAUAAAUUUAUAUUUGAGAGUAAAAUUAGUAUUAUAGCAUCCUAUAAUUUUUUUAGUUUAUACAAACCAAACAAUGAAAUGUGAAUGACUCAUUCUAAUUUCCAAUCCACAAAUAAACCAAACGUCUUGGGGGAGUGGGCCAUUCCAAUUAUCAUUCCAAUUCAUUCCCAUUCCAUUAUCCAUUCCAAUUCCACCUUUGAACCAAACAAGCCCUGUUUGUCUUUUUCUUAGGAAUGUCACCAAACAUGGGAAACUUUUUCGUUUAGGUAUUUCAAAGAAUUCUCAAAGCAUAUGCAACCAGAUUAUAUGCUAGAUUACCCAAAGGAGGUACUGGGAUAGUUGCUGCUGCUACUGGUACUGAUGGACAGAUCAGGGUCAUUACUCAUAACCUGUUGUACUUGCCUGGUUUUUUCUUUCUAGGCUUAUGUUUUCUUAGAUUUAACUAUGUUUUUCUAUUUAACAAUUGAUGCAGACCUCCGACAGAGAUGAGAGGAUGAUAUGUUACAUUGUUAAUACAGCAGAGUACUGUCACAAAACGGUUAGUUGGCUUUUCUCCUCAUGGUAUUUGCGUAGCAAGGCUUCGAACAGAUGAUCUGAAAUUAAAGUUCGGAUAGGGCUAAUUUGUUUGUUGUUGGAGCCAGAAUUUGAGUAAUCAAUAGAAAAGAACAUAGCCACUUCCUCACUUUAUGACAUCUAAGUUAUGUUCGAUUUCCAGUUUAGGAUAAACAUACUGUUUAAAAGUAUCUUUAGAAGUUUGAAAAAUAUAAUUAUUAUAGGGGAAAAGAUAUUAUGUUCUCCUUUUCCUCUCUUGGCUCUGCUGAUCAACUCUUGUUGUAUUAUGAAUCAUGUGAUCUUAUCUUGUUAGUUGACUUCCUUUUAGUUCUAUUUUUGCAGUCUGGUGAACUAGCUGACAAUGUCUCUAAGAUCAUUGAUCCUCAAUUUACUGACAAGGUUGAUAUGUCUGAAGUUCAGGUAAUCAUUUCUGACAUUGUCGUUGAGUUGUUUAUGAAACUCUCAAAGUGCUGAGAUGAGAUCUGAUUUUGGGACAGGACGAGUUCUCGGUAGUGAUCACCAAAGCACUGAUGACGUUGGUGCAUGGACUUGAAACAAAGUUUGAUGCUGAAAUGGUUUCAAUGACCCGUGUUCCGUGGGCCAGUCUUGAAAGUGUUGGUGACCAAUCAGAGUAAGAUCUAAGAAUCUUUCGAUGUUAGGUUAUGUGUUCUCUUUGUUUAUUUGAAAUCUCAAUGCAUUUGUGAGCACUGAAUCUCUUACUAGGCUAGUCUCACGGAGAGAGGUUUUAUUUAGUUCGGUGGAGAGGAUUAAAAGUAGUAAGGUAGUAGCAAGAAAAAAGUAUGAUAGCACUUAAUUUUGGAAAAGAAAUUGUGCGUAAGUAUAUAUAGAAGUUUCCAUGUAGCCAACCCCACUUUUUGGGACUAGAGGGUGAUUAGUUGGCCGACUAGUAUCAUUGUGUUUGUGUUAUCAAUUUUUCAAGCAAAUUAUAUAUUUAACGUCCUCAUCUAAGCUUUUUUAUGAGAAAAAAUUGCAUUGUUAUCUUGCAGAUAUGUAAAUGGCAUCAAUUCUAUCCUGUCUAGUAGCAUUCCGGUGCUUGGUAGCCUACUUUCUCCUACGUACUUCCAGUUUUUCCUGGACAAGGUAAGCUUGCGAGAGUUUUCUGCUUUUUUUGUUGUGAACUCUCUUUCCUUUGUUGAGUCAAUAUGUUUCUGUUUUCUGCCAGAGUUUUCUGUUUCCUGUGUCCACUGAAAUUUAUCAUAGUAUCUUGCUAACCUUGCAUGUUUUUCAUUUGGUAACUAGACCUCAGCUCAAAUUUUUAUUAUGUGCUGAUGAGUUCAAAAUGGAGAUAUACAGAUCAGCUUUUUGUCAAAUUUGUUGCAUAUGAUUUUUUUUUUUUUUUUUUUUUUUUUUUUUUUUUUUUUUUUUUUUUUUUUUUUUUUUUAAGUCCAUUCAUGAUGUUAUUGUGGUGUGAGACCAGUGAUAGAAUGUUCUUAUACUUUAUCAGAUUGUAGGCUAAUUCAACUUCCAACUUAGGUUAGGAAAAAUUGUCACUAUUUUAAAUUUAAAAACUGCCAUCUCUCUGAUGAUAAUUCAUUAGUGAAUUGUAAUAAACAUCCUAUCAGAGUUAACUCAGUAUUAGGUCGAAUUUCUUUUCCACUGACUUUAUCACCCUGAAAGCAUGGAUUGGAGAGCUUGGUUGUUGAUCCUUCAUUUUGCUAAAUAAUUUUACUAUGCAAAAUCAACUGCUGUAUUAAAGAUAGAAAUUUGCAUUCCACUUGUUUAAAGGCUAUCACAUGAGUAGUUCGAGAUCAGCUAAUUAAUUGCUGAGAGUUAUCCUGGUUCCACUGAACCAGGUCUAUUUACCGUCUGGUAGAGAUGCGAUUUAGUUGCAAGAUUAAUCUUGUUUGUUGAAUAUUGUUGAAGUAUCAUGCGCAUACAUUUUACUGGAUAUCUUCUGCUUUCUUGUUUUCUUUUCUUUUACUGCUAUAUAUCUGGUUGGCUGUAUUAACCAAUGAUUUCACACAGCUAGCGGCAUCUCUGGGUCCUCGAUUUUACCUCAACAUUUAUAAAUGCAAGCACAUAUCAGAAACCGGUGCGCAACAGGUAUCUUUCAUGUUAUUGCUAAGAUUGUUUUCAUUAGAAUGGUCAGGAUUGCUCGAAUUACAACCAAAAGUAAUAAUCAGCAAGUUAACUGUUCUUUAGUACUAAAAUAAUCAUUGCCAAUUUGGUAUCUGUUUAUCUGACCGCCCUAUUUAUUUUUUGUAGAUGCUGCUAGACACUCAGGCCGUCAAGAAAAUCCUCUUGGACAUCCCAACUUUAGGGAAACAGGUAAUCUUUUUCUCAUUCAAGUUCGAUAUAUGGGUAUUCUGACUUGUCAUCUAUAAUAGGGAAAUUUUUGAAUGUUCUCCACAUUUCCUGUUAAUUAAAUAACUAUGCAGUAGUUGACGUGUGGAAAGGGGAAAAAAAAAUACUUGUUUGAGACUCAUCCAUGUUGAUAGUUGUUUCAAAUGCUUGAAAAUUUCUCCAAGUAUGAUAUGUUUUGGUUUCAGCGUUCUAUUAAAUUUGAUCUUUCCCUCGAGUAGAAUUGUGGAAAUCUAUUUGUUUUUUGCUGUAUCUGGAAUUUUUCUUUGACUUCUACUUUGUUAUCAAACUUCUUUGCAUUGUUGUUGAUCAAUUAUACUCCUGCAACAGACUGCACUUGCUGCUAGCUACUCAAAAUUUGUAAGCCGUGAGAUGAGUAAAGCUGAAGCCCUCUUGAAGGUUAGAUGUUUAUUUGAAUAUAUUCUUCAAAACUUGAUGAGGUGUGUCUUUAAUUAAAAUAAAAAAAAAUGGUGAUGUAUAUUGUUUUUGCAGGUUAUUUUAUCUCCUGUUGAUUCUGUUGCAAAUACAUACCGUGCAUUACUUCCUGAGGGCACACCUCUUGAGUUCCAAAGGAUACUCGAUCUCAAGGUUUGUAUGUCUAUCAAGUUUUAGUUCGUAUCUUCUAUGUUAAAGGCCUCUACAAGUAAUUUGAUAUGUCAUUUACCUCCGGUAGGUCUCGUUUAGAAUUAGCACAAGUUUUACAACUUAUCUCGGAGAACAGCGUUUAAAUACAUUAUUUAGAAAUAUCAUAUUUCUGGAAAAUAGAUAUAGUAAACCUGUCGUGAUGAAUUAACUUCCAAAUCAAUGAUUGCAUGAUAAAGUGGUACAAUUCGAUCUUCUUCUCCAGGGAAUAUUGGUCUUUCUAUGGAUCGUCAAAAAUAAACCGCAAUUUUGAUGAUAAUGACCUUAAAACCAUUAAAGUGACUUAUCAAGCUCCCAUUUCCUUUAAUUAUUGCAAUCUGGAGCUGUAAACCAAACACAUUCCCGUUUCAUCGGUGCUGGUGGUGAUACUCUGUCGUUUUUCUUUUCUUUUCUUUUCUUUUCUUUUCUUUUUGUGUGUUAAAAUAGUUGUAUAGUAAAUAGUUGAUCUUUUCACUCACUAGUGUAACUUCAUAUGCUCGCGUAGCCCAUUCAUUACAGAGAAGUUCUUUUGCAGGGACUGAAGAAAGCAGACCAACAAGCUAUACUAGAAGACUUCAACAAGCACGGCACGAGCAUCAGACAUCCUUCGGUGCCUCCGUCUGUUUCAUUGCCGCCUGCUCCAGUUGCGCCGACGGCUCCACCGCUAACAACAACGACAACAACUACCUCUACUACAAUGACUUUGUCUAGCAUGACGAGCACGGGUACUCCAUCAGCAGCUCUUGCUUCCCGAGAGGACGUGCUUACUCGUGCCGCCGCGUUAGGGCGGGGAGCCGCCACCACUGGUUUCAAGAGAUUUCUCGCAUUAACCGAGGCUGCCAAAGACCGGAAGGAUGGGCCGUUCCGCAAGCUCUUCAGUCCCUAGACAUUCGGCGUUCUUUGUGUAAAUCAUUGCAUUAUUUUCUUUAGUAAAUCUGAUGCGCCUUGUAGCCAUAGUUUUUCUUCUUCUUCUUCGUCUUCUUCUUCUACUUCUUUCCCCCAUUUUCGAGCUUUGCAUAUGUAAUCUUAUUUUCACAAAGUGGGCAAUUCUUUUUGUCUUUUCGCAAAGAUAGCUGCUGUUACUUGAUCAGAUAAGAGGCUACUGUACCUGUUUGUCGAACAAGGCCCUUUCAUCUAAUUUCGGGUCAUAAAAAGAAAAUAAUGAAAUGCAUUGGAUAAUAGUUUGUUUUAAGGGAAAACUUCAAAAACCCCCCCUGUGGUUUCACACUUUUUUAUUUUAGUACCCUGUGGUUUGAAGUGUAUCAAGUUAGUACCCUGUGGUUUCUCACUUUAUCACUUUAGUACCCUGUGGUUUAAAAUGUAUCAAGCUAGUACCCUGUGGUUUUGCACUUUAUCACUUUAGUAUCCUGUGGUUUCACACUUUAUCACUUUAGUACCUUGUGAUUUAAAAAACUAUAGGUACUAACUUGAUACAAAAUUAAAACCACAGGGUACUAAAGUGAUAAAGUGCAAAACCACAGGGUACUAACUUGAUACACUUUAAACCACAGGGUACUUAAGUAAUAAAGUGAGAAACCACGGGGUACUAACUUGAUACAUUUUAAACCACAGGGUAUUAAAGUGAAAAAAAUUGAAACCACAAGGGGGGUUUUUGAAGUUUUCCCUUGUUUUAAAUAGUCUUAAUAUUAAUUAAAUUAUAAGAAUUGGGGACUAAAAUAGUAGCAGAGGCUUUGUACCCAAAAAAAAAAAAAAAACUCUUAUUUCCGAUCUACAAAAACAAUAUCAAGCUAUGCGGCAAGGGUCAAACGCAUAUAGAAGUUCGAAGUGUUUCUGAACUCGGAUGUUUCCUUUGUAAUUUGUAUUCGAGGGAAGUCGCUCAACUUUGUUUUGCUGAAACUCGGGAGUGGUUAUGCGAUAUUGUUAAUAUUUGUUUCACUAUUAAUCACUUGAACUAUAUCAAUUCAUAUUUGCCACUUGAAUUUUUAAGUCUUUUACAAUUAAUUAUCUAGGUCUUAUGUAUAUUCGAUCAAUGUAAAGUCAUGGAAAAAAAAAAAAAAUUGUUACGAUCCAAACUACUUCCCAAUUCUGAGUUGCGAUCGCUGCAUCUCCAUACGAUUCAAAUCUAAAGUUUAAACUUGAAUUUGAUAAAGCUGUAAGGUUUUAAAGAAAAUCUACAUAUGCAUUUACUAACAUGCAUGGGGAGUAAAUAUUUGGUCAUCCACACCCAAUAAUAUAAUGCAAUAUGAACAGUUAUCAUUAAAUGCUGACUACAUGAUAUCUUGUCCCGUAAUCCUCUCUAGGUGCACUAUUCAAUCCUCCUGCCUACAAAAUACUAAAAACAAGUCCCGAGUAAUUAGGAUACAAUAUGAAAGAGUUAACAACUAGCAAUAUAUGUAUAAUUGAACUACACUAGUAGAAGACUAAUGGCUGUCCUCUAUGUUCAAUACGUGACGCGCUUCAACUCUCUUAAUGCACUUGACACAAACCCAUUAACUCAAAUGAUCAACUCGACAACCUAAAACUAGGUUUCUGCAGCUGUAAUACCCACCUCCAAACACCAAACGUGUCACUUUAUAAUAGCUCGUCAUAAUGUAUCCAGUAUGGUCUAUCUGCCAUACGUUAUUCAUUCCCACUAAUAUUAUGUUGGUCAUAUUUCUUUUUCUUUUUUCUUUUUUUUUUUUUUUUGAGAGAUAGAUAGCACGCUACCCACUUCGUUUAUUUCAUUUAGAAAUAAAUUUAGCUAGAAAUGUGAAUCAACUAGGAUUCGAACUUGGGUCUCGGGUACCAACCACCAAACCCUUUGCCACUUGUUCUACUGACGGUCGGUCAUAUUUCUCUAAUGGUGCAUGUAGGCUAGUAUAUCCAUUAGGCAUACACUAGUUAUCACGACUGACGUACCAUGAAAUGCAGCCUAGCUUAGUAUCCGCACACGAUAUCGCUAGUCCAUCGAUCGGUGCAUUGUCCGCACCUUGGUAAUCCAUCAGGCAUGGAGGCAUUAGGAGUAGACCUAACCUUGUCACUCGAGGCAAUGUUAGGUCUAGUCCCGGGUUACUAAAUUCGGCAUAUGUUAACUAAUCGUACUACUCUACAUUUUCACUCUACAGACUAGACUUCUGUAAUGUAACAAUCUCUGUAGUUAGUAGACAGUGGAUUAUUCCCUUGGCUUACAUAUUCUCGAGCCUCUAGCCGGUACACACAUAAUCCUUGGGAUGUAUUCCUGAAUGUGAAUACUCGACGAUGGUGCUUCUCGAAAGGAUAUGGAUUGGGCGGUGAAACACUGGGCGAAAGAGUUUACUUUGUGAAUGCUGAGUUUGAAGUCUGACGGGCAGUAGUCUUCGUUGGGAGCAGCUUCGACCAAAGUUGCGGGAAUACCAAAGGGCUACUCGAUGGACCAGUACUUCUCUCUUGGUAAAGGAAGAUCGAUAGGGAGAUCGAUCACUCUUUGGAGUGUGCCCAUGAUAUGGAAAGAGAAGGCUAGCUCGGGUGUGCGACACUUGAGCGCCGUGCGGGGAUUUUCAAGGUGAAAAAGCUAACCCCGUGACAAGUGCUCGAUAUACACAUCAUAUACAUAUGCACUCAUAUCCACUAUCCAAGAAAACUCGCAAUCUGCUCCUUAUCAAGGUAGUUAUAGUAACACAUAAGUGCACCCAACCAUGAUAAUAACCACUCGGCACAAGAUUCUCAAUUAAAUCUAGUUUACAUCGCACAAUAGAUCAGGCUCAACUCAAGUACUCAACUCAUGUCAUGCGAGCAUGCUAUCAUGAAUCAUAAAGUGUCUAUAUAGAGUGGCUAUUUAACGUGACUACUAUGUCCAAUAUCAUAAUAAAUAUAUAGCUAUUAUGAUCAUGAAAUUUACAGUUUAAAUGACUAAUAAGUUUGCAAAAUUGCUAACUCAAUAAGAUUAAGAUAUCCCAAUCACAGUUUGUCAAUGCCUCAGGGGAUGAUGGUAGAAGUCAAAAAGAUGUUUUCUAUAGUCACCAGUUGUCCCUCGAUUGACUUAUAAGGUCCAAGCUUGGUCAGCCACCAUAUAGAAUUGAGUACCCACUGGUUGACCACCAGAACCCCAAAGCCACUCCAUUGUACCUAUGGCGGUCGACCACAAGGUUGCGGUCCGUCGACUGAAGGAUUGCUGUCUGUCGAUCAUGCAACAUUUAUAAUAGCAAAAAUAAGGUCAAAGCAUAUCAAACCAAACCCCAAAAGAUGCCAAGACUGCAAAACAAUCAAAAUUAGGGAAAAGAUAGCAAGCGAAGCACCCAAAAUUUCGAGCUCGGAGUCGACGAAUGGCUCGUUUGGAGAGCGCUGCGCCAUUAUCCAAUCCGGACUUUGUUAAAUUACAAAAUUAUACAGCAAUCCAGUUGUAUACAAAUAGAAAUAAAAUAGUCACAAUCUUACUAAAUAUUAUUAAAUAUUUAUAUGACUAAAAAGGAAGAUGAAACUAAAUACCAAAAGUUACGUAAGUUGGAGUCUAACCAAUAUAAGCGUAAUGUUCCAACUUUGAGCUUCCAACUAUGCAUUGGAAUUGUUGCGGAUAGGCCUUGAUCAUGGCACCAGAAUAGGCAAAAUAAGAUAGGAUAAUAGCUUGAGAAGAGAGUGGAAGUGACAAAGAAAAGUAACAAGUAAAAGAGAAGAAUAAAAAAGAGAGAGAGGAGAGGAGAGAUGCAGAAGAUGUUAGAUAUUUUGCCUUCUUUUUUUGUUAUUAUUGGUUUGGUCCAUACACUGGGUUCAUGAAAAUUAACUGGAUGUCUGGAUUCCCAUUGGUGGAUUGUGAUUCAAGUUGGUGGUGAAGUAGACUCGGGCCGGUUCCUACGCACUACUCCUAAUUCAAGUCAAAGUUUGACUUGAAUUAGGAAUAGACACUACAAUAGAAUUAUGUUAUAAGGACAUAUUUUUGGGAUAUUUUUGUGUAAGUGUCUCAUUUAUGCCAAAUUUUUUUUAAAAAAUCUACUAAGGCCUAAAUAUAAAGCCAAAUCCAAUAAAAAAUAAAAAAUUUCUCUACUCAACCAAUCCCACCCAACCCACUCGGCCCGAUUAUAAAUAGAAAAGGAAAAAAAAAAAAAUUGAUCACCAUCUCCCUUUCCUCUCCUCCACCGCAACAGCCGACGAGGUAGGGUUCCGGUAGCUGGAGUUCGGCCGCGAGGAUCUCGUAGGGACUGUAGAGGGCUACGAUAGCCAUGUGUCCCUCUGCCACAUGUCUCUGGAGGAGUGGGUGUCAAAUUUGAAGGUGGCCCUACAUAUAGCGACCUCACAUAUAUAAAAAUUGUUGGUAAUUUAGCCAGCAGUACUUUUUUUGACCUAUACUGAUAUUUAAAAGUGUCGUUCUAUACCGUUUUUGUUGUAAUGAGGAUUAGGCCGAUAUAUACACACACACACACAUGCGGUGGGUGGAUCCAAUAGCAAGGUUUGAAUUAAUUAGCAACCCGGGCUUAAGGACGUACGGCAGCAAAAGGAGAAGGUGCAUAGCAGCCUUGCAUGCAACCUCAGGAUUGAAGUUGGCAGAAGAGCAGCUGUUCUCAAUCAAUUGUUUGAGCGAUUUGGAUUCAUCAAAGCAACGGCAUAAAGCAAGGAUUUAAGUAUUGUGGCACGGAGUCGUGCCGGAAACUCACUGGCACAGUACGGCACGAUGCAUGCCGGGCCGUGCCGAUGCUUGCCGGUCACAAAAAAUUCAUGUUUGUCGACAUAUAAUAGCAUAAAAUAUUUAUUUUCUUUAGCAAUAAAACUUACUAAUUUAAAGAAUAAAGGGUUUUGAGCUAUGUCAUCGGCACGGGGGCUGUAUCAUGCUAAUAUCUUAUUGACACAAUACGGCAUGGUUGAUAUAGCCCGUGACAAUGGGCACUUAAAUCCUUGGCAUAGAGGAUAUUGGUCAAAAUAUUUUAUACUCAUCUAAUUUAGUCUUCUCAAUUUUUUGAAAUGCUAUUUUCGAUGAUAUCUUGGAGUUUUCGUUGGAAUGAGAGAAAGACAGGAUUCACUAUAAGGCUCUUGAUUUUUUAUCUAGAGAAGACGUAAGGUGUAAGCUUGUACUUCUAUUGCUUUGUAUAGUAGAAUACAUCUCUCUCACUCUUUCCGUUGAUGUAGGCAAUUGUCAAACCAUGCAAAUUUUGAUUUCUUCUUUCUGUAUUUAUUUCUUUUACCAUUCGAUUUUCUCUAUUUUUUUAUGCAUCUCUAUUGGUAGGGCAUGACAGACAAUCCAUCCGAUUCCUAGCAAGAGAAGAAGAAGAUAAAAUGAGAAGGAUGGGGGGAGCUUCAGAUUAGGGUUGGGAGGGGAUAAGUAGAUUUGGCAAACUAGCGGCUUGGGCAAUCCGUGGGCAGGUCAGUGUACUCGUCAGUUAUCCUGGUGUGGAUAAAAUUUAUCCGAAAAUUUUUGGAUAGCAAUCAUCCUUACCCAUACCCGCCCAUGUGCAGGUGCUUGGGUAUAUAAGUUACCUACAAGGUAAUCUUUCUAUUUUCAUACUUUUCAAAUACAAACAACAUAUAUAUUAUAAAAGAUUAAAACUUAACUUAUUAUUUAAAAUAUUAUAACAUAUAACAAAUAAUAAUGAAAAGAAUGACACCACAAAAACUUAGUGUUAGGUUCUAGGAACAUGUAAAAUAAAAAGAGUAUUCACUAUUUCAUUUUUUAUUUUUUUUAAAAAUAAUAUAAGCGGGUACCAUAGGUAUUGCGGGUUGCCCAAAAUGCUUGUAAUUUAACAGUACCCUUUCAUUGUAUCCAUAAUUUUUUGGAUAAGAAAAACUAGUACCCCAUACCCACAAACUUGCGGAUAAACUGUAGAUACCCGCAGGUAUAGGUUGAGAUUGCAAGGUUUAGGGAUAAGAAGAGAGAGAGAGGGAGAUGAGGUGUGCGCAUUGUAAGAGGGAAAGGACACUUCUUCUCUCCCUGCAUAAUAAUAAGGGCUUGUUUGGUUCACGAUUUGUAAUAUUCUAAUAGUCAUUCUUAUUUUCUAUUAAAAAUAUUCAAAUCAUUGCUAUUCAACUCAAGUUGGAUAGUCGUAAAAGAUUUUUGUAAAGUAAUGGAAUUAUUCAUUAUAAUUCCAAGGGAAUAGGAAUACUUGAUUGUCAUGGGCAGGAGAUUCUCUCAUUUUCAUAGUUAAUAGGAACCAUUAAUUAGUAAGCCAUUAAUAAGAAUAUACUAGUUCUUAACAAUUUUCCAACCCAAGUGGUUUGAUAAGUUAGUGAUAAGCUUGUCUGUAACGUAUCGAAACCUCGAUAGCGAUUAUCGAACUUUAGCCAAAUUUGUUAAAGUGCCGAGAGAAAUGGAUGUACAAAGUCCGGUUGACAUUCCAACAAUGUUGGAAGGAUCAAAGUCGAGUCCCGAGAGUGUUAAGCAAGUUUUAGCAUUGUUCGGCGUGAUUUAAAAGUGAACAAUGCGAAAGAAAUAGUUGGGUAUGUUCCAUUGAGCGUUCCAACAAUAUUGGAAGGGUUAAAAAGGUGUUCUAAAAGAGUUAUAAGGGUUUUAGCAUCGACCAGCGCGAAAUAGAAUCGAAAACGGUGCAAAACCAGCAUUCUGGGCAAAGUGUACCGGUACAACCAUCGAGUUGUCACCGGUAUAGCCCUGCAGACCAAGAAGAGCUUGCUCUCGGGUUUGGGAGAAAAAUCGGAAGUGUACCGGUACACUUUCAAAGUGUACCGGUACAAAUCCUGCGUAACCGAGAAACAUGCUCUCGGGUUGGCCUCUGCGCAAUCGUGUACCGGUACAAAUCCAAUGUGUACCGGUACACUUUGGUCUGGCAGCACCAAUUUGGUCUGCUGCAAAUAAAAAGAAAUGAGAGCCUAGAUGCAAUUGUAGCACCUUAUAAAACACCCCAACACCUCUCUCUCCCUCUCCCACAGCCAACACACACACCUCAUCUCUCAUUUCUCUCUUUCUCUCUCUCUAGAUCACUUCAAAGAGCUAGGAGGUGAAGGAGGAGAAGGCUUUGGAGGGAUUUUUGGUGGUUUUGAAGGCUUGGGAUCUCUCCUACAAAGUAGACAUUGGAGAGCUUUGGGCUAAGGUGAGGUGUUUUGUGACAAUAGGUCUAGGGUUUGAUUUUAUGCCCUAGAAAAUUAGGUUUUGAUCUUCUCUCAUGUAUAAAAAUCUAGUAAUGGCUUAGAACACAUGAAAAUCCUAGUUUUCUUCAUGUGCUCUAAUGGUGAAUUCCUAGGGUUUGCUUAUUAUACCCUAGAAAUGGUUUAGAUGGUUCUAAAUGAGCUUCUAGAUGUUGGACAAGCUCUCUUUUGUUUGUUUUAGAGAUCAAAACCUAGGUUUGAGCAAAUGGUAUUGUUAGGGCACCAAAUUUGGGGCUUUUGCCCUAGGGAGUUUCUAAGGUAAAUUGACAUUGGAGAAACCUAAUUGGGGGUAUUCCCGACACGUUGGGCAACUAGGUUUGACGUUACGAAAAGCCUAUGUAGGAGUUCUAAGUAUUAAGCCUAAUUUGGCUUCGUUUUGCCGCAGGCGAUAAAGUAGGGCUUCAAAAAUCUCAAAAAAUUCACCGUAGCACCUUUGCAACCAUACAAGGUGGGUGGUGCAUACCAAGGAUCUCGAAAUUCCUUUUAUGUCUAAAGUGUCAUAUUUGAGAAUAUGAAUGUAUUGAGCAUAAUGCAUAGGGGUAAUUGUGAGCUUCUUAUCGCAUGUUGUGGGUUCAAAUGCAUGUGAAAUGCUAGUGAGACAAUGAGAAUUUAUACACCCUAUGUAUGCAUGACAAGUGACAAGAACCUAGUAGACUUAGUAAACAAAUAUGACAUGUGGACAUGAGUCGUAGAGAGUGGCAUCUACUAGUUUUGAACACUUAGAGAACAAGUGUGGCAUCAUUGUAUGAGUACAAAGAACAAAUAGUGUAUAUGACACUAGUAAAGGUUAACGAAUGCAAGUAUACAAAGGUAGUGACAUUAUGACAUAACAACCUUAGAGUUAAGGGUCAUAUGUGCAUUGUUUUCUUAUAGUUUAGGAAUGGAUUGAACUUGACAUCCUUAUAGUUAAGGAUUGGAUCAUACUCACCUGUAACUCCUUGCUCGAGGGUGGUAGCUCCCCCUCAGGCGAUGUGCUCCGGAAUUGUCAUCACUGGUUCGUAGCGAGUAUCUCCCCAGAGGACGGUCCCGUCGGGUUGUAGCGAGUAUCUCCUCGAUAGUAGGGAUUUGGGUUGGUGAGUUUGUUGAGGGCGAAACUUACAGGUUAGCCAAGAGAUUAGGCAAUGAAAUUAUAAUCUUGCAUUGAUCAUGAGCAUACUAUUGAGCAUUGCAUUGAUUAUUGUUUAGGCAUAUUAGCUGCAUUUGUAUAAUUUAGUUACUAUCUAUAUCUCUUUUCUUCUAUUAUGCCUGAUUUAGACCUAGUGGGAAAGUCGGCGUGGUUGGUUGCCGAACCCACUGGAAAUUUUAUUUUAGUUCUCACCCCACUAUUUCCACAGAGCCGGAACCGAGCGAACCGGCAAACGACCGCGGUAAGGGCAUCGUGCCCUAGAUAGAGACCACCCGAGAUGGUUUCAUAUUUUGAAGUUGCAUUCCCUUUACUAUCAUCUUUUGUAUUUGAUGAUUCUAGAUGCUUAUGAGUAUGAUGUAAAAGAUAUUUACUUUAAAUAUCAAAAGUUAUAUUUUGGAGUAUUGUGAUGUAAAAAAGAAAUGAUGAAAGAGCAUGUAAAGGAACUUGAUUAAAGUAGUAUACAUGUAUGUGAUUUAAAGUUAAUCAUAUUACUUGUUGAAGUUUAGUUUAGUACUUUCACUUUGGCUAUUGCUUGUCCCCGUGCAAGCCAUUGUGUUUGCUUCCGCAUGUGCAAAUUUUACUCUAUUGAUACUUGUUGUUGACCCUUGGGCGGAUAGGGGAGGCUCUGUCCAUUCGGCGUCUGUUCGACGGGUCCGAACCGGCCAAAUUGGACCGGGUUCGGGGCGUGACAUUGUCAUUCCAAAUAUAAAAUACAAUAUUUCUGAAAUAUUACAAACCUUGAACCGAAUGACCGACAAUAAUAAUAACGGAAAGAGAGAGAAUAAGUGGGCGUAACAAUCGAGGUUGGAGUUGCCUAGCUCGUUUGUCUGCGAUCACCAGUCGGUUGACUGCUAGGCGACUAAAAAAUUAGUUCCAAAUAAUAUAAAAUAUAAUAUAAAAUAAAAUUUUUCAUAUUCAUACUAACAUUUUAAAAAUUUCAAAUUUAACUCGAAAUUUAAGUAAAAUGCAUCAAAUAAAAGUUCCAACUAGGAAUUAAACUAAAAAGUUUAAGUCACUUGGGGUGGAGUGUUUUAGAAAGGAUGCACACAUAAAUACAUAUUAUUUUUGGUGAUUAAGUAGACCAUUCUUAUUAUGUUUAGUCUUCAAUAAUUAAAUCGUAAAAGGUAAAUUUGAUAAUUUUCAAUUUAUUUAAAUUUUGAAUUUUAAGUUAAUUUAAAUUAGUUAAGUUUUAACUGAUCCAACAGUCGACUGCGGGAACUCCUUUAAUUGAUUGUCUGCAACCACCACCUACUAGCUACCUCUCUUCACUAGUUUUCUCUCUUCUCUCAAUACAACCCUCUACGCUCUCUUUUUCUCUUCCCCUCACGUGACCUCUUUUUUCCUAUCCUCCUCGUUUUUUUUCCAUCGCUUUCUCUCUUUUCUUUUCUCACUUGUUCUUCUUCCUCCUCCUUACUCUUCACUCCAUCACUUCUUUCUUUGUUUUCCCUCUUCUUAACUACACCGGCUCCUAUUUCUACUCUUGAGGCUUUUAUUCCCAUCUUGCGGUUAUUUUGGAAUCAUGGCCGAGGUUCCCCAUCCAUGAAAGUUCCUAUUGAUUCAGGGCCAAGCGUGAGAGCCUAGAGUUGGAGCACUAAACUCUCUUUGCUUAGACUUCAAUUUGGAUAAAACUUGUAACUAAGCCCAAACCCUUAUUUUUGUUGUAUAAAUGAUGUCCAUUGAUGUUUCGGAAGUUUUUUUACAAAUUCUUGAUUGUAUUUCUAUUUGGGAAUGAAAUGAUUGUGAUAUUUUUUUGGUUUGUGAAGUUUGGGUUUGAACUGCAGUUUUCAGGUACCUUGUGAUCAACCGACUAUACCUCCCCAUGGUCGACUGACGCGGUUCCUAAAGGAAACUAUAGUGUCGGUUGCCUAAGCAGUCGACUGCUCUUAUAUCCUGGUUGACUGGUCGUGAGGUGACGGUUGGCUGUUGAUGGCCCAAUGAGCAUGGACUUUUUGAUUUUGUUGCAGUAUUUUUAGGUGGCUUCAUUAAGAGUUGUGAGAAAUUUUAUUUAUUUAUUUAGUUGCAAUUUUUAUGUCCUUCUAGGCUUGAUCGAGGAUGCCUCCCUCUUUUUUACUUCUCGUCUUCCAAGGAUACCGACGAUACUAGUGAGUCGGAACUAUCUCUCCAAAUUAUACCACUAAAAAUUUUUAAAAAUUCUUCUUUUUAAAUUAUUGUUAUAUUCGUUUUAUUAUCCAUAUCUACUUGCAUGAAAACUUGUAUAUGAUAACUAUACUUCAUAAGCAUGUUAUACCUAUUAAUAAAUUGCUCUUAUAUAAACUGUUAGAUGCAUGUCUUUUUAGAAUUUGUUUUGAUUGCUUAGUUUUAUCAUUACAAAUCUAUGUGCAAUACAUGUCGAUAUUAGUUGGAAUAUAUUACUUUAUAAGAUGCAUCAUGAAGAUAGAAUUUGUAAUUGACAUUCUAUUUCAAUUGUUAUUAUUUGAACAUAGGAAUCUCAACAUUAGGCUUUACUAUCUAAAAUUUUUGACUGAAAGAUAUCCCUCACCAUUUAUGACCUUUUAGCUACAUUAAAUGUGUCACAACCCAAACCCCAGCAACGAUACUGUCAUAAAAUAUCUCAACAGCCAUGCUGUCAUAUAAUAUCUCAACAGGCUCAUCUGCUCGAGUCACAAAGUCAAGGUGCUGGAGAAAUCUCCUCAACCAAACAACCUCAUGAAUGGUUGCUAAAUAAGCAAUGUACUCCGCUUCCAUGGUAGACAAGGCAAUGCAGCUCUGCUUCCUACUGCACCAGAAAAUUGCCUUACCUCCAAGCAUAAACAUAUAGCCUGAAGUGGACCUUCACUCAUCUCUAUUACAGCCUCAAUUAGCAUCACUAUAUGUUUUCAAUCUCAAGUUCCCAGCUUGUAAGCAGAGAAUGAGAUCACUAGUUUCCUUGAUUGUGUCCUGGGUUGCUCUGAUAACGACUUACCAAGCGAACAACGAAGCAGAUGUGAAAUCAAAUACACAUCAUAGUGUAUAUCGAGCUGCUAAUUGCACUUCAUAAAGUACCCUACUCAUUUGUGCUUUUUCUUUAUCCAUUUUAUGGCACUGAUCAAGACUCGAAGUGUAGUCAAGUACAGAUCAUAGCAAGCUGCCAAUUGCACUCGCAUAAGAGAUCUUACUCAUUUGCUCUUUUUCUUUAUCUAUUUUAGGGCACUGAUCAAGACUCAAAGCAUGAUUUUUCUUUACCGGAGUGUCAACGAGCUUACUAUGAUGCAUUGUAAUGCCGCAUUUCUAUAAGGGUCACCCAUCCUAGGACUACUCUAGUCCUAAUAUGCUUAACUCUCUUAACCUUUUGGACCUAGCCACCGCCUAAAAUGUUAUAAUCGGGUUAGUAGGUUUAGCCAUAUUAUAUCUUAUAUAUAGAACUAUUCCAAAUUCUGAAGUGUCAAGGCUCGUCUCGCCAACCCUAGCCGACUUUGUAGGGAGUCGCACUCUACCCACAACGGUCACCAACUGGGGAACCAUGUGUAACAUAUUGAAACCCGGAAGAAAUUGUCGAAUUUUAGCCAAAUUGGUUAAAAUUGUCGAAAGAAAAAGUUGGACAAGUUCCAAUUGGCAUUCCAACAAUGUUGGAAAUGCUAAGAAUGAGUUUAAGAGGUGUUAGAAUGUUUUUAGUAUCGAAUGGCGCGAAACAGAAUCGAAAACGGCGCAAAAUGGCAUUCUGGAGCAAAGUGUGCCAGUACAACCAUCGAGUUGUACCCGAUACAGCAUUGCGGGCCGAGAGAGAGAAGCUCUCGGGUUUGAGAAAAUUUGACUGUGUUACCGGUAACACCCCUGGUGUGUACCGAAACACUUUGGUAAAAAUCCGAGGGAAAUGCUCUCAGGUUUGCCUCUGCGUAAUCGUGUUACCGGUGACAGCAUCCCGUAUACCGGUACACUUUGGUCUGGCAGCAAGAAUUUGGCCUAUUGCAAAUAAGAUUAUUUGGGAGGCCUAGUUGCUAUUGUUGCAACAUGUUAUAGCCCAAAACACCCCCUCCCACCUGUUUACACAGCAACACUCCUCUCUCCCUUAUUUUUUCCUUUCUUUCUCUAGAGCUCAACUCUAGGGCAAGGUGGUGAAGGAGGAGAAGGGAUUUUCGUGGGUUUUGGAGGCUUUGGUGGAUCUUGGGGCUCUCCAACAAGAAGGAUCUUGGGUGAGCUCGUGGCUAAGGUAAGUUUUGUGCAUGAACUCCUCUAGGGUUAGGAUUUAAACCUUAGAUUUUGGAGUUUUGGUCUCUUUAGAGGCUUUAGAAGCAUGCUAGAGCCUUGAACACCAUGAAAACAUGGUUUUCUUGGAACCCUCUCAUGGUGGAUUGUUAGAAUCCAAAGUAGAUGCCCUAGGAAUGGUUCUAGAGGCUAGAUAAUAGUAUUAGAGAGCUUCCUAGAUGAAUCUAAGCUAUCAUUUGCUUAGAAAUGAGAUCAAUCUAGAAGAAAUUUAAAUAUGGCAUUGUCAGGGCAUGGAUUUGGGGCUUUUGCCUCCGGUUGUUUUCGAGGUAAAUUGACCUCUUGGAAACUAAUUGGGGGUAUUCCCGACGCGUGGGACAACUCCGUUUAACAUUACGAAAAGGUUAAGUAAGAGAUCUUGUAUAUAGGGCCUAAUUCGGCACUAUUUUGGAUAUAGGUCGCAGGAGAGGCGUCCUAAAAUUACGAGAGUCGAACUACAACCCAUCUACAAUAUUUAAGGUGGGGGGUGCACGCCGGAAUCAUCGGAUUCCACUUUAUGUCUAUUUUCACCUUUGUUGAGCAUACUUGUAUAUGGAGUCAUUCAUGCAUAUUAGGGUAGUUCACAUGUGAAUGAUGGUUUAAUUUCAUUUAUAUGUUUCUAACGUAGUUGAACAUGAAAAAUGAUUUGAGCCAUAGCGGACAUGUAUGUUGAGACCCUAAACUUGUGUGAAUGUGAGACUUGGACCAAGAUAAUAGUAAAUAAAGGUGACAUUGACAUUAGAGACUUGAUUGGCAUCGAGACAUGACUCGUAAACAAGGUUUAACAAUUAGUGGCAUUGUGAUGAGAAUGACUUAGAAAAUGGCAUGAACAAAUGGGUAGAAACCUAUUAUGAAAAUAGUAUUGUGACUAGUGGCUAUGUAUCCUCAAGUUGAGGAUUGGAUCGAUACUCACAUUAACUAGGCUUGAGGGAGGUAGCUCCUCCUCAAGCGGUGUACUCCAGAGUGUAGAAACCACGGGGAAAGUACCCCGUUGAUGAACCCUCGGUUGGUUGAGCCUAAAGCCUCCCCCGGUAGACGGGAAUUAUGAUGGUGAGUUUUGGGGUUAACAAGGUUAACCGGCAAGAUUGGGUAAAAGCCAAAGUAAAGUAUGGAACAAGCAUGCAUGCAUGAGCAUUCAUUAUUCGAUUAUAUAUCCACUGACAUAUUUCUUGCAGGUAUAGUAUUAGCAUUAGUAUUGAUUACUUUUCCAUUUCUUUAAAAUACUUAUGCCUGAAUAGACCUAGUGAGUAAGUCGGCGAGAUCGGUUGCCGAACCCACUGGGAACUUCGUUGUAAUUCUCACGCCACUAACCCUACAGGUCCGCGCCCGAGCGAGGCGGCGGAGGACCGAGGCAAGGGUAUUGCGCCAUAGCUAGUGGCCACCGGGACUUAUGCAUUAGUCAUUCCUUUUGCCUACAUGUAUCAACUUUUAUUUUGUUGAUUUAGAAUUGUAAGUUGAAAACAUAUCAUGUAUUUUGGUGAAUGACAAAAAUGUAAAGAAUUAUGAUUGAAUGGAAAAAAAAUGUAAUAGUUGUAGUUUACUAGUAUUUGGUUAAAAUGUAAUUAAAUAUCAUAUAUGGUUGUAUGUUUAGCUUAGAGCUUUCGCUUCCGUUGUUGCUUGCCCUCGUGCAAACCUUAUAUAAUUGAAAAAUCUCUUUGUUGUCUGUUUAAUUAUACAUGCUGUUUGAGCCUUGGGCGGACAGGGGAGGCUCUGUCCGUUCGGCGUCUGUUGACAUGGCCCGAGCCCGACCAAAUUGGCGGGGAUUGGGCCGUGACACCAUGCUUUACCUGUUGUACAAUCCUAACUCAACUGAGACUCAUCUUACACUUUUAGCUGGUGAUUGGCUACAAUAUCAACUGUGAUGCGCUACAUCCUAGGGGGAUCACCCAUCCCAGAGCUACUCUAGCUCUACCACCCUUAACCUUCUUAACCUUUUGGGCUUAACCACUGUCCAAAAUGCAAUUGUUGGGUUUAGAAACUCACAAGCACUGGGCAAUGUGAGAUUCGUCUCAUAGACUUAGCCGACAUUAUGGGAAGUCACUCUCCACCCACAACGAUCAUUAAUUGGAGAACCACCCAACUUCUCAUGAGGGCACCACGCUUAACUCUCCUAACAACAUGGGCCUAACCACCGCCCAACAUAUUAUAGUGCCAGAUUCUUAGAAACUCACAAGCACUAACGAAUGUGUGACUUGCCUCGUUAGCCUUAGCCAAUCUUGUGGGGAGGCGCAUUCCACCCACAAUAAUUAUCAGCUAGAGAGCCGUGCUCUACCCGCUAUGUGACCCUGGCUCAGCAAAGACUCAUCUCACAUUUUCUAUUGGUGAUUGGCUCUAAUACUAACUGUGAUGCCCUACUUCGUAGGGGUCACCCAUCCUACGACUACUUUAGUCCUAGCAUGCUUAACUCUCUUAAUCUGUUUGUCUUAAUCAUUGUCCAACGUGCUAUAGCUAAGUUAAGAGAUUUAACCCUAUUAUAUCUUCUAUAUAGGACUAUUCCGAAUCUUGGGGUCUCACACAAAUUGACAGGUAAAGGUGAGGAUAAAGUUUCUUUGAGGAUAUGUGAGAACAUAUGUUAACGGUUGUUCUGGAAUUACCUACUUUGAUUGAGAUAACUUGCUUUCUGAGAAAGUUAAGUUGCGCAACAAAAUAGGGAUAUUUUUACAAUAUCCCUUAACCAAGCUAGGUCUUAGGGUCCAACUUCUCAUUCCAUCAGUUUCACAGUAAAAGACUCGUCUAUUUUUUUUGGCAAAUGUUAUACUAUUGCUUCUUGAAAUAGAGAAGUCAUUGUAGAAACCUUACCAAAUGCCAUUAAGUCAAUAAUUCUAAGAAGAUUUAUCUUUCUAGAUUACACUUAAUUAGGCAAACAGAGUAAAGUAUGUCUGCUUCUAUUUCUCUUGCUACUUUUGUUCUAUUUUGUCCCCCCCUCUUUAUGCUUGCAAUUGAAUCGAAAAACCAUUCUUGAUUUGUUAGAAUUAGACCUUUCUAGUGUACAAGUAAGCUUAUUAUAAAGUGUGAAACAUAUUUAUUUGUUUCCAGUUUCUUCACUUCUUUUCUGAUAAAAUAGUUUUUUGUAUUUUUUUAUUGACAGAAUAUGAAGUUCACCUGUCAGGAUAAAAUUGUAGAUAUUUAUAUAUUAUUUGGUUGGUGUUACAAGGGAUGAUAUAAUUGCAAAACAACAAUUAAAAUAUAUGAUAAUACUUUCUAGUGCGUAAAUUGUGGUAAAAAUUAUCAAACUCCUAUACCAUGGUAAUAAUUUUACUUACCUUUCUUUGAUCAAAUUCUAAUUUUAAAAUUUAUUAAUUUUAAAGAUUGAUCAAUUAAAAUUUUAAUUGCACAUUAAUUUAAUAUACAUUGAUGUAUUUAUUAUAAAAAAGGGUACAAAUUAAACACUAUUGUUGGCGAUGGAAGUGGAACAACUAAUUUUACUAUUUUUGGAAAGUUGGCACAAGAUUUAGUUCAUAUUCAUGCUCAAAAUUUAGCUACCUCACCGAGUUCGGAUCAAUUUACACUUGCUCCCGUGAUUAAAACAAUUAUUGGUCAGAAAUAUAUUUUCCAAAUUGUACUUGGCGCCUGAAAAUUUAGGUCAAGUAUACCAUCUUCUAAAGUCAUCAAAAUUUUUUCACUACUUCUAAAUACCAAAGGAAAGUCCCCUGCAACGAAAAAUUUGUUUAUCAAAAGUGACGAACGGCUUCUUUCCCCUGAUACCAGCAACCAAAUUUGCAAAAAAUUAUUUGCAGAGGCAUUGCCAAACACAAAAAUUUCAUCUGGAUAAUUCAAUUAUACAUUCUAUACUUAUAAUACUUUGCGUGAGUGUAAUUUUUUAAAUCUUUACAUAUGAUUUUAUGACCAUCUCUGGACAAUUUACUAAGGAUUUAUCUGAAAUGCAGCUUAAUAAAAAACAUUGACUUAACCCAGCCUGCCUUACGUAAAUAAACUGUCUUACUUAACUAUGUGCUAUUUAUAUAUACCAAAGAAUAUUUUUUAUUAUUAUUCUAAUUGAUUUGUAGGUUUAAUGAAGCUGUCCAAGCAAAUGAAGUCGAGAAAUGAAGAAUUGCAAUUCACACCUCAAUCCAUUUAUAUAAUUAUAAUCUUUAUUUUGUAUGGACUUUGAUAGCUAUAAAUAUUUUGACUAAAUAUUUGUUAUCCACUUACCCAAUUUUUUUAAACAUGCCUACACUUUAUUAAAUACAAAGGUAGAUUCUAAAAUGUAAGAUACUACAAAACUGAAGAUGGAAAUCAAACUGCCGACGAUGACAACCAAUGAACUACAACUCCUCUCCCGUAAACAGCGGGAACAAAAAAUUGAAGCACAAAAUCAAUGCCUACAUGUAAACAAUGGGAACAAAAAAUGUAGCAUAAAAUCAAGGCUAAAUUACAGAAAACCUCCUUGUCAAUACCCGUUUUUUUACUUUCCCCCCUGUCAUUUAAAAACCUACAGUUUGCCCCAUUGAAAAAUGAGAAAUGUUCACUUUGGCCCCCUACCGUCAGUAUUCCGUUAGGGUUCCGUUUAUAUCCUAUUAUUAUAUAUUUUUUAUAUCCAAAAUACCCUCUCCUCCCUGCCGCCUCCUUCCUUGCUGCCCUACACCGCCGCCUCGCCCUCGCCCACCUCUCCAUUCGCGUCCACACACAUGCUCUCGUGCUCCUUCGCCGUCUCGCCCUCGCCCUCGCACGCCUCUCCGUCCAUGCCCACUCCAAUCUCCUCCCUAUCGUCGCCGAAAUGGAGGGGCAACGCAAGUGCAGGAAGAGCGGGAAAGCAUGUGGAGGAAAAUGGAGUUGGAGCUGCGGUUGAGCGAGUCGCGAAAAACGGAAGAGGAGAGGCGACGGCUAAGCGAGGUUGGGGGCGAAGACGAAAAUGGUGAGGGGCAUUUUGGUCAUUGUGUCAUGGUGUACCCCACUGUGAACAUUUCUCAUUUUUCAAGGGGGCAAAGUGUAGGUUUUUAAAUGACAAGGGGGGAAAGUGAAAAAGAGGGUAUUGACAAGGGAAUUUUUUGUAAUUUAGCCUAAAUCAAUGGUUGCAAGAAAGAUGAGAAGCUCCAUAACAAAUCAGGCGGUGGAAAUCACACUAAACAGCAUACAUGAAUGGAGAUGCAAAUAAAUAAAUAUACUCUACUCAGACUCCCUUGACCAUCGAACAUUAUCAGACUGGUGCUGAAGCCUUCUUUCUUAGUAGUGCUUAUUGAGUUAGAACCCAUUUGCACGACAAAACCAUCCUUAGCACAAAUGAGAGCAACCGAUUGCCUACAAAGUAGGCCAUCCAAAGUACCUCAUAACCAGCCAAGAAGGACUGCGGCCCUCUCAAUUAUCGCAACCAUCUGAUAUUUAAAGCAGAGGUCAUCAUAGCAUGGGGGAAAAGAGGGGUAGCGAUAAAAAAAGUAGCGAAAAACUGCAAAUUUGCGUAAAAGUAAGAAUAUAAAGGUGGUUUUGCUAAACACCAACAGCCGAAGUACCAAGAGAACCUCGGCUUAUCCCCCAUAAACAAGAAAAAAAGGAAAAAAAAUUGAAGCAUAAAAUCAAUGACCGAAGUAUAAAAUCGAUGCUUCUAAGAAAGAUGAAAAGCUUCAUAAAAUAUGAAUGGGUCCAGUAAACAACGGGAACCGAAAAUUGAAGCAUAAAAUCAAUGACCGAAGUAUGAAAUCAAUGCUUCGAAGAAAGAUGAAAAGCUCUAUAGUAAAUUAGCUUGUGAAAAUCAUACCAAACAGCAUACAUGAUUGGGUAUGGAAAUAAAUAAAUAUACUCUGCUCAGACUUCCCCGAUCGUCAAAUAUUAUGAGACUGGCAACGAAAGCUUUUUGAUUAGUAGUGCUGACUAAGUUAUAACCCGUGUGCACACAGAACCAAAUUACCCCUAGCACAAAUGAGACCCACCGGUUGCCUGCAAAGCAAGCCAUCCAUAGUGUCCCUAUCGCCAGUUAAUAAGGGCCCAGUCCCUCGAAAUUAUCGAAACCAUUCGACAUUCAAAGGAAACAUCAUCAUAGCAUGUACAAAAAUGGAGAAUGCAUAGGGAAAGAAGCCGAAAAUUUAGUACCCAAGGGCUUGUUGCCACGUACUUUUUUUUUUGUUUCAGUAUCCUUUGAAUACCUGGGUAUUUUACAUUAUUGUUUUGAGAAGCUUUUACGGGGAAUAAGAUCGAAAGUUUAGUACACAAAGGCUUGUUGUUAUGUACAUAUGUGUUUUUUUUUUCUUUCGGCAGCCUUUGAAAACCUGGUUAUUUUACAUUAUUGUUUUGUGGCUUUGCUCAGGUAAGGCUCUUGCCGUUCACCUUUCCUACAGCAUGAUUUUACAAAAAAAAAGAAGAAAAUCACGUCCUGGAACCCGCAAGACCCUUUUCUGGUUGCAAUCGGAUUCCAUUAGUAAUGUUCUAGAGUGUCUAUAUAAUAUAUUUAAAUUAUAGGACGAACCAGUAGUUAAAAAAGCACGGUUUAGACACCAAAACGGUCGUAGAACCACGGUUCCGACAUAUUACUCCUCACUCAGAAAAGAACAGCACAAAAUAUACUAAGGCAUGAGUACCGGCUCCAUAGUACAAAAGAAGCCGGUUGCACAUUCCAAUACUAAAAGGUAUGGAGUGUAGAGCUAAGAAGCAGACCCUGCUUCGGAGGGGCAAGUCGCUGUAGCAGCUCGAUCAGCACAUAGACAGUUGAUGGUCUCAUGACAAUCAUUGAUUUCACGGCGCAUUUUCACCAGCUCAGUUAUAGCAUCCACUUUUUCAGAAACAGCAGUAGCAUAACAAUCUUUCAGAAGAUUGUGCUCCUGCUUAAGAGUCGUGAACUGCGCAAGCAAGUCACUAUUCUGAACCGUAACAUUAUCAUACAAACUUUUGUACAAUAUAAAAUCAUCGUAGUUUGUAUCUUUUAUUUGCAAACCGAGCUCAUCCUUCAUUCUUUGAAUAGCCACACGGGCUGCAUCUUCCUUUGCUACUACGUAAUCAAGGGAUAGAGCACCUCAAUUGCGCACAAUUUCAAUAACUGUCCCACUACGUGCAAUUGGAAGGUCAAUAUAUGCUAGAAACGAACCUUCAGCAACAAUAGUUACAAUGCACUCGGGCGUUUCAACGCCCAACUUCUCGGCAAUUUCAUCAAGUAAUCUAGUAUACGAAAGUUGAAUAACCGACAUCUCGGUAACUGUAAUUAAGAUGUAAAUUGGAGGGGAAAAACAAUCAAUUCAAAGAAAAGUGCUUAUAGCUACAUAAUGAGAGUAACCCCCCCCCCNNNNNNNNNNCCCCCCCCUCCCCCGUUUUCUAAAAAAUAAAAAUUUGUUAAGCGCAAGUGUAUAAAAAGUCAUAGAUGUCAAAAUAUGCUCUCAGCCAGCCGCGUGUUACAUUAAGCGAAAGUAAUAGUGUGGACAUUUGUUAAGUAUAAGAUUUUGAGAAGGCACCUUUAAUAAAGAAUUGUUAAGUCCAAGUGUAUAAAAAGCCACAAAUGGCAAAAUAUGCUCUCAGCUAGUUGCAGGCUACAUUAAGCGAAAUUAAUAGUGUGGACAUUUGUUAAGUAUAAGAUUUUGAGAAGGCACCUUUAAAAAUAUUAGAGCUGGUAGGCCCAAAGAAGGCCCUCGCAAGUUUCUCUUUUUUAAUGUGCUAAGUAUAAAGGCUUAGUGUUUCUUUUCCUGUUUAACUUGUUAAGUAUAAGGAUUUGAGAAGGCGCCUUUUCAAAUAACAAAUUUGGUAGCCCCAAAGAAGUCCAGUCAAACCACCAAAGUAAACAGGGGUAAAAAGCACAUCAUAAUUUAGUGCGAGCAGAUCGUCGCCCAACUCACCAAAAGUAAUGAGGGUGCAGAACAGCAGGCAUAAGGCGAAGCUUUUUAUUUCAAGCCAACCUUUGAAAUGUAGGCUACUAACUCAGGCGCCACCCACCGAAAAGGCUACCAGUUCAAGCGCCACCCACCGAAAAUAAUGAGAAAACAGAAGGGCAAGCACAAGUAGAGUAGAGGGAGCCUUAGAGGAGGACCUAGGAGCACACGAAAAACAAAGGUGCUAAUUGAUUCCCAUCUAUUAAAGGAAUGUGCUAAUACAGUUUUUUUUUUCCAUGACUUCUUGAUGGCUAAAAUAGACCUUUAAAACGGAGGCAAGCAGGUUGAGCUUUCUCUGCAUAGAUGCAGGCCUAUUUAUAGGCAAUUGUUGAGAGAGAGGCGAAUGGGGCAGAUUGCCUUGGUGGCCUUCCAUACAACCACGCAUUGAGGGGAAGAGGAUGAAGAAUGAUGGUGAAGUACAGAGAGGGACAGAGAUUCCAUCGUAGGGACGGGGUGAGGGCUAGGGUGGUGAUUAGACACGACAAAUCCUAUAGGCAUCAGGCAACCCACCUCCGGUGGCACCGAGGACAGUAGCGAGGAAAGAAGGAAAGGGAUGAAGGGACAGAAAGGACACGAUGCAUAUCGCGAACAGAGGGGAGAUGUACGGCAACCACGCCCGCACUUCGGGAUCCCUGACACACCGUCGGAGUGUGUGUACAGCCGAGAGAGAAGAAGGCCAUAGGAGAGGGCGACAACCCUCCGCACCUUGCGGGAUCUGCAAGAGCAACGUGUGCGACUUGGUAUAUGCCACAGCAGUAGCCAGAUCUAGGCCGAUCCCGCUCAAGGAUAGAGAGGGCGAACGGUUCGAACAGAGGAAGGACAGACCGUGCGAGAAAAGGGGGACACAACAUGUAACCCCUCCGAGAACUCAGCAGAUCUGGGCCGAUCUAGAGGGGAAACGAGGCGGGGCGGGCAGUAUGUAAGCCCGCUCAGCAUGGGCGAACGGAUUGGAGAGGGGGAGAACUGACCGUGUGAGGAAAGGAGAAGGCGACACGUAACCCCUGUUAGAACUGAACGUUUAAUAUAUCUAUAGAUAAUCCUAAUUGGAUUAUAAUUAAUAUUUAAAUCUGUUGGAAAUAAAUCAAUUAAGAUUUAAAUAUUUAUUGGAGUAGGAAUCCUAAUGUAAGGUAAUGAAUUCUCGAAAUACGAAAGUUAGACUUCAUCCAGAAUCAACCAAGGGUCGUGUUGGUGAGCUUUGGAAAAGCCAAAGAUGUCAAAAUCACCAAAAAUGCAUUGGAAACGAGUCCACGAGAGCAAAUAGUGCAAAACCUGCACUGGAGCAAAACUGCUCUCCAGGACCGGUCCGUGGCAAGGAGGGACCGGUCCUAUCGGCUGGUGGUUGCGGAGAUCCUUGAGGCAACCGGUCCCUGGCAGGGAGAGACCGGUUCCCGAACGUGAUCCCAGCGAGAAAAGCCAAAAUUUGGCUAAGUCCCGAAAAUCUUGCUCUCGGGAACCGGUCUCUCGGUCAAGGAACGGUCUCCCGGGGACCGGUCUCUCAGGGAAGGACCGGUUCCCGAACGCGUGACCCGAGCUGAAGCUCUCGGGGACCGGUCCCAAGUCGGGGAGACCGGUCCCUCUGGGCGAAAAAUGCCCAGUGAGGGGCAGUGCACAAGAGUAAAAGGUGGGGGACUUAUGUGGAUAUUGUUACAAUAUGAGGUGAAUAGGACCCCUCCCCUCUCUCAUCUCCUCAUUCCACUCUCCCUCUCUCUCACACUCUUUCUCCCUCUCUCUCUAGUAAGAGAAAAACAAAGGAAAGAACAAGAAGGAGAAGAAAAGAGAUGGAAAAGAAGAAAGAAAAGGAAGGAGAAGAAAAAGGAGAUCAAGCUUGGAAGGCUUUUGGACCUCUCCCUUUUCCUCUCUUCUCAUUUGGAGGCUACACAAAAGGUAGGCUUCUAACCCUAGCUUAUGAAACUUAGGGUUUUUAGGUUUUGGGCUUUGAAAAUGGGGUCAAAUGGACCCCCAGCACCAUUAUUGGUGGAUGAAAGCUAGAGUCAGGGUUUCAAAUUGCAAAUGGCAAGAUGGGAACCCUAGGGCUCCAAAAUAGGGUUUUUGAUAAAGUAUGAAUUGAUCUCAUUUGAGACCUUGUAAACCUAAUUGGUAGGUGCCAAAACGCGGAGGCGAAGUCGGAUUUAGCAUUCGUCAAGUGGGUCGAGAGCUAUCGGCAAAAUAAGGCCUAUUGAGCAUCAUUUUGGACCAAGAAGACCGAGACUUCAUCGUAACGUUCGUUGGAGGGCACUUCUAGAGCCUCCAUACCCUCAAGAGGUGGGGGGUGUCACCCCGUAGCAUCCGGAUUUCUCCUUAUGUCUAAGUUAAUUUUAUUCAUCAUAUGUUGAUUGUGCAUUAUAGGAUUAGUAGAAGCAUAUUUCCACUCCUUGCAUGCUUACUUAGUAGUGUAGCGGUAUGGGCUUAACACUUGGACUAGGGAGGCAUGAGGAUUGGGUCUUGAGACAUAGAAUCCUAUAGUGGCAAAAGUGAUGAACUUAGACAUAGCCUAGUAGAGUGGCAUUGACUAGUGUGGUAGAAACACUAAACUUGAACGAGUGGCAUGUCGACUAGUUCGAAGAUAUUACUACAACGACUGAACGAGUGGCAUCGAGUCUAGUGUAGUAAACAUGACAUGAUUCUUGGGAUAGUAGAGGUCUCGGCAUCUAGGAUGCAUUGUAUAUUGUGCAGCAGAGGCACAUUGACCCUUGUAGAUAAGGUAUCCUCUUGUGAGGAUUGGAUCAUACUCACUAGUCUGUUUUCGCUGUCGGUGGUCGCUCCACCGUGGCACGAGUCUCCGGAGUACUUCACUAGGGGCAGACGUAGUUGUCCCGCAGACGGUCUCGGUGUGCGAGGACAGCUUCUCCUCACCUAUGAGAUUGAGAGUGAGUCGAGGGUUUAACCUACGGGUUAACCAAGUAGAUUGGGUAAUAAAUAUGGAAUGCAUAGUAAACUUGCAUUAUUACCUUGAGUAGACAUAGUGUAUGUUGUAGUUUACAUUACUAUACACUUUUAUAUGCUCAUGACAUAAUACUAGCAUGAUAGUAGUUGUUGCAUACAUUAUUAUCAUUGAUGGCACGAUAGAGUAGUUGCAGUUUGUUUCUAUAUAUCUAUCUAUCUCUCUAUCUGUGCCAGCUUAGACCUAGUGGGAAAGCCGGCGGCGUCGACGGCCGAACCCACUGGGAACUAUAUUUAUAUAGUUCUCGCCCCAUGUGGUUUGGGGUACAGGUACACACAAGGGCGAGCCGAGCGAGGAUCGCGGCAAGGGCAUAGCGCCCUAAGUGAGUUUGUUAGUAGCUUUUCCCUUAUGCAUUAGAGUACCCCCGUAUACGAGACAUGAUGUGUAUUUUGGAUAGAUAUCGAAGAGCUACUUGUAUUUUUUGAAAGACAUGUAUUUACAUUUUGGCAGAUGAAAAUGUAAUGUAAUCAACUUAUGUAAAUGUUGAAUGAUUGUAAUAGCUAGAUAUUUCUCUCUUUAUACACUUGUACAUUCGCUCGUGGUUCUUGCUCUUAGUUAUAGUGCACUAGUGUGCAUCGUGAUUGAUCAUGUAUGUUAUUUAAGCAAUUCCUGGGUGCUUAAUUAUACUUGAUCAGGUUGUUUGGCCUUGGGCGGACAGGAAAGGUGCUGUCCGUUCGGCGUCCGUCCGCCGCGCCCGAACCGUGCCAAAUUGGUAGCGGCAUCAGGGCGGGGGCGUGACAGAGUUGUUGGUAUCAGAGCAAUUAAGAACAAGUAAAGAGAGAGUCUAGGAUGGACCUAGGAGACCUAGGUUGGCAACCCUAAGGUGAUAAGUACGUAAGAGAAACGUAAACCUAUAUCGGUUGAGGAAGAAUCCGAUUAGGUCGGAUCGAGUAUAGAUCUCUAGUGUGGCUAGAGAUAGAUCCGAGCGGUGUUAGUUCUGAGCUCGAGGAGUUUGUGUUGGCGGCCGACAACACGACGCUAAGAGUUAGGACUAAUACAAUGGUGUACGUCCGCUUAUGGCGGAGUUGAGUCGCGUAAUAUGGUGUAUACGACGGAGUUAAGUGGGUUAGAUGACUGACCCGGUUGUUGCGUUGCAGGAACAAUGUCCCCAAGACGCUACGUGCGUAGGUCCGUUCCAGCACCAUCUCCUGAGGUGCCCUAGGAAGCCGGAUCUAGUGAGGUGUAGGAGUUACGGGCGCAAGUGUCGGCAUUGACCGGCAUUGUCCAACGCCAGGAGAGUCGAUUCGAGCAGCUCCAAGGGCUUAUGGAGCGGCAUUUUGCGGCGGCAAUUGCAACUGCGACUGAGGGCCGUGGUCCGCCCGUGCCUCCAGCCCGUGCGCCUACGGUGGCUGAGGGCGAGGGCAUUGCGGCAGUUCCUGUGGCGGUACGUCCUCCGCCGGCAAGCGUUCCUCCAGCGGCGUCGUGUUCUAUGACACCCAAUGCGACGACAUUGGGGGCGGAGAGGGAGCGCGCGCUUGCGGCUCUCGAGAAGUUCCGAAAGUUCAAUCCACUGACCUUCGAGGGAGAGAAGGUCGAGCCAUGGAUGGUUGAGUCGUGGGUGGACUCAAUGGAGACCUUGUUCGAGGACCUCUACACGUUGGAGAGGGACAAGGUCUACCUCGCCACUCAUUGUUUGGAACGAACAGCGCAGGUUUGGUGGAAGCGAAUCAAGAGAAACCGAGCUUCCGACCUUCCGCCGUUGACGUGGGAGGAGUUUCGGGGAUUGUUCUACGUCAACUACUUCCCCAACAGCGAGAAGAAAGAGCUCCUGGAGCAGUUUCGAAAGUUGAAGCAAGGUAGCCGUACGGUAGCGGAAUAUGAGCGGGAGUUCUCUCACAUCAUUGACUGCGUCCCCGACGUAGUGCAGGAUGACAGGGAUCGAGCCAAUUGGUUCGAGCGAGGGCUCCGGGCUGAUAUCUGCCGGGCGGUGCACAUUCUGAAGCUCACUACCUUCGCGGAGGUGCUCGACAGAGCGUUGUGGGCGGAGCAAGGAAACGCUCACAUCCGGGAGGAGCGAGAAGCGUCCGAGAAGGACGGUGGUAAGAAGCGGGCUCAAAGUAGUUCGAGAGCUCAAUCGAAGUCGAGGAGGCCCCAGAAGUACCCGCGAACGCAAUCCAAGGGCCGCGGACCGCAGCGGUGCACAAUCUGUGGUGGGAACCACGAGCCGAGGAAGUGUGAUCAGCGGGAGGGGAAGUGCUUCACGUGUGGACAGGCGGGCCAUAUCAGCCGCUAUUGUCUAGUGAGGGCUUCGCCUGCCCCUUCAGUCUCAUCGGCUCCGGCGACUCCGGCGCAUUAUGGAGGAGUCCCACCUGCUGCGUCAUCGGUUGGACGUGCGAUGGUACCACGCCAACCUGAGGCGACGAGAUUGACUCCGAGUGGACGGGUGUUCGCCGCCCAAACUCAAUCCGAGGAACCUGCUAAGGCGGAGGAUCGCCAUGUACUCGCAGGUAUGGUUCUAAUUAACGGAGUUUGCUCCAGGGCUAUGUUUGAUACAGGUGCUAUGCAUUUAUUCAUCAGUAGGUCAUUUGCAUGCAUGCAUGACAUAGAACUACAAGAGAGUAAAAGCACUUGGAGAGUAUCGGGCCCCGGACGUGAUUUUCUAGUUCGUAAGGAGUGUUCGGCUUGUCCAGUAUGGCUAGGCGACUGGAUAAUGCCCAUCCGUAUGUUAGUGCUCAAGAAGUUGAAAGACUUCGAUGUCAUUCUAGGAAUGGAUUGGCUCUCGAAGUACUAUGCGACUAUUCACUGCAGAAGUAAAGUGAUUACGUUUCGUGAGCCGGGCCAGGAAGAGUUCAUCUACCGGGCUUGUAGAAGCUCAUACUUCGCCGCCACGGUAUCGGCGACGAGAACAAGAAAGCUAGUUAACAGCGGUUGUACGGCCUACUUGGCGACCGUUGUAGAAGUCGAGAGGACGACUCCUACGCUCGAGGAGCUGUCUGUGGUUCGGGAAUUUUCAGAUGUAUUUCCAGCGGAGUUACCGGGAAUGCCACCAGACCGGAAGAUCGAGUUCAUGAUAGACUUGGUUCCCGGAACCGCGCUUAUCUCGAAGGCUACGUAUCGGAUAGCGCCAGCAGAAUUGAAGAAGUUGCGGGCUCAGUUAUUGGAUCUCCUUGAUAAGGAAUUUAUACGGCCAAGUGUAUCGCCGUAGGGAGCCCCGGUUCUAUUCCUGCGAAAGAAGGACGGAUCGUUUCGACUCUGCGUAGAUUAUCGCGAGUUGAACAAAGUCACGAUCAAGAACAAGUACCCGUUACCAAAGAUUGACGAUUUGUUUGAUCAGUUGCAAGGGUCUCGGGUUUAUUCAAAAAUUGACCUGCAGUCCGGUUAUCACCAACUCAAGAUCAAGCCGGAAGAUGUGUAAAAGACCGCGUUUCGUACGCGGUAUGGACACUACGAAUUCACGGUCAUGCCAUUUGGGCUCACUAACGCCCCGGCAGCGUUCAUGGAUCUAAUGAACCGUGUCUUCAAUGCGUACUUGGACCGAUUUGUCGUGGUCUUCAUAGACGACAUCUUGAUCUAUUCUCGUAGCAACGAGGAACAUGCCGAGCAUUUGAGAAUAGUGCUUCAAGUCCUUCAGGAGGAGAAGCUAUAUGCUAAGUUUAAGAAAUGCGACUUUUGGCUCCGAGAGGUUGCAUUUCUUGGGCAUGUCAUUUCCGAGGGAGGAGUAUCUGUUGACCCGAGGAAAGUGGAGGCGAUCAAGGAUUGGCCUCGCCCGACUAACGUCACGGAAGUUCGAAGCUUCAUGGGUUUAGCGGGUUAUUAUAGACGGUUUGUGGAGGGAUUCUCGAAGAUUGUGGGUCCACUUACCCGUCUGACUCGGAAAGGCACCAAGUUCAUUUGGAGUGACGAAUGCGACCAGAGUUUUCAAAAGUUGAAGGAUAGAUUAACUUCGACUCCGGUGCUCGUCUUACCGGUGCAAGACGAAGACUUUGUGGUGUAUAGCGACGCGUCACAUUCGGGCUUAGAGUGUGUGCUGAUGCAAGGCGGGAAAGUGAUCGCUUAUGCGUCCCGUCAGCUGAAGAGCUAUGAGAAGAAUUACCCUGUCCACGAUUUAGAGUUGGUCGCAGUGGUGUUUGUCCUCAAGUUAUGGAGGCACUACUUGUAUGGCGCGCGUUGCGAGAUAUACACGGACCACAAGAGUCUAACAUACCUAUUCACGCAAAAGGAGCUCAAUAUGCGACAGCAGCGGUAGUUGGAAUUGCUAAAGGAUUUUGAUGUUACAAUCCUAUACCACCCCGAAAAAGCAAACGUGGUGGCCGACGCACUUAGCAGAAAGUCAGUGGAGAAUCUUGCUAUGUUGGUCACACAUCAGGAGCCACUGUGGAGAGAGAUGGAGCGAUUAGAUCUCGAAGUGGUAGCUCCGAAAAUCCCGUCUAUGCUUAUGGCUCUCGUUGUCCAACCGACCUUGUUGGAGCAGAUUAAGAGUUUGCAAUUUGCAGACCCCAAUCUCCAAAAGGUGUGGCCGGACAUCAAGAGUGGACGCGGCGGUGAUUUCAGGGUAGAUGCUGAGGGUGCGCUUCGGUUUCGAAACCGAUGGUGCGUACCAGAGAACGAGGAGGUCUGGAAGUUAAUAUUGCAAGAGGCACAUCGGACUCCUUAUAGUAUUCACCCGGGUGGCACUAAGAUGUACCGUGAUCUGAAGAUGCAGUACUGGUGGCCGGGCAUGAAAGCAGACAUUGGGCGCUAUGUAGCGCAGUGCCUUGUAUGCCAGCAAGUGAAGGCUGAGCGUCGAUUUCCAGCGGGAAAGCUCCAAAGUUUACCUAUUCCUGUUUGGAAAUGGGAGAAUAUAGCCAUGGACUUCGUGGUCGGAUUGCCCCGUUCGACGGGUGGCCACGAUGCGAUCUGGGUGAUUGUGGAUCGUAUGACCAAGUCGGCACACUUUCUACCGAUUCACACCACCUGGUCGGGUGACAGAUUAGCGUAGGUAUAUCUAGAUGAAGUUGUGAGGUUGCACGGGGUUCCAAAGUCGAUCGUGUCAGAUCGAAAUCCUCUUUUUACUUCGCUUUUUUGGAAGAACCUGCAGGAAGCACUUGGCACACGACUCGAGUUCAGUACCGCGUUUCAUCCUCAGACAAAUGGGCAGUCAGAGAGGACUAUACAAAUUCUGGAGGAUAUGUUGCGGGCGUGUGUCAUUGACUACAAGGGUAGUUGGGCAAACCAUUUCAGGAUGGCCGAGUUCGCCUACAAUAACAGUUAUCAAGCUAGCAUUGGGAUGGCACCGUUCGAGGUCCUAUAUGGACGGAAGUGCCGAUCCCCUAUAUGUUGGAGCGAUGUAGGUGAACCUGCGGCACUGGGCUCAGACAUAUUGCAAGAGGCGGAAAAGAAGGUCCGUCUCGCUCGCGAGAGGUUACUUACAGCUCAGUCGAGGCAAAAGUGCUAUUCUGACAAACGCCGUAGAGAUUUGGAAUUCGCGGUAGGUGACCGCGUUUUCCUGAAGGUUUCGCCGAUGAGAGGUGUGAAACACUUCGGAGUGCGGGGAAAGCUAAGUCCCCGAUAUAUCGGACCGUUCGAAGCGUUGGAACGUAUUGGAGCAGUAGCAUAUAGACUGGCAUUACCGCCGAAGCUCGCAGGCGUGCAUAAUGUGUUCCACGUCUCCAACCUUCGUAAGUAUAUUCCCAAUCCCGAGCAUGUUAUGUACUACGAACCGCCAGAUCUACAAGAGGUUUGAGCUAUGAAGAAUUUCCGGCGAUGAUUAUUACUUGAGAAGUGCGAAAAUUGAGGAACCGCGAGAUUCCCUACGUGAAGAUUCAUUGGACCAAUCACAGCGAUCGUGAGGCUACGUGGGAACUCGAGGAAUCGAUGAAAGUGCAUUAUCCUCAUCUGUUCACGGAAAUGCAUUGAGGUAUGAGUUGUUGAAUUCGUUUCGAAGACGAAACUCCUUUUUAGGAGGGGAGGAUGCAAGGAAGUGAAUUCUCGAAAUACGAGAGUUAGACUUCAUCCAGAAUCGAUCAAGGGUCGUGUUGGUGAGCUUUGGAAAAGCCAAAAAUGUCAAAUCACCAAAAGUGCAUUGGAAACGAGUCCACGAGAGCAAAUAGUGCAAAAUCUGCACUGGAGCAAAACUGCUCUCGGGGACCGGUCCCUGGCAGGAAGGGACCUGUCCCAUCGGCUGGUGGUUGCGGGGAUCCUUGAGGCAACCGGUCCCUGGCAGGGAAAGACCGGUCUCCGAACGUGAUCCGAGCGAGAAAAGCCAAAAUUUGGCUAAGUCCCGAAAAUCCUGCUCUCGGGAACCAGUCUUUCGGUCAAGGACCGGUCUUCCGGAGACCGAUCUCUCAGGGAAGGACCGGUUUCCGAAUGCGUGACCCGAGCUGAAGCUCUCGGGGACCGGUCCCAAGUCGGGAAGACCGGUCCCUCUAGGCGAAAAAUGCCCAGUGAGGGGCAGUGCACAGGAGUAAAAGGUGGGGGACUUAUGUGGAUAUUGUUACAAUAUGAGGUGAAUGGGACCCCUCCUCUCUCUCAUCUCCUCAUUCCACUCUCCCUUUCUCUCACACUCUUUCUCCCUCUCUCUCUAGCAAGAGAAGAACAAAGGAAAGAACAAAAAGGAGAAGAAAAGAGAAGGAAAAGAAGGAAGAAAAGGAAGGAGAAGAAGAAGGAGAUCAAGCUUGGGAGGCUUUUGGACCUCUCCCUCUUCCUCUCUUCUCAUUUGGAGGCUACACAANACACUUCGGAGUGCGGGGAAAGCUAAGUCCCCGAUAUAUCGGACCGUUCGAAGCGUUGGAACGUAUUGGAGCAGUAGCAUAUAGACUGGCAUUACCGCCGAAGCUCGCAGGCGUGCAUAAUGUGUUCCACGUCUCCAACCUUCGUAAGUAUAUUCCCAAUCCCGAGCAUGUUAUGUACUACGAACCGCCAGAUCUACAAGAGGUUUGAGCUAUGAAGAAUUUCCGGCGAUGAUUAUUACUUGAGAAGUGCGAAAAUUGAGGAACCGCGAGAUUCCCUACGUGAAGAUUCAUUGGACCAAUCACAGCGAUCGUGAGGCUACGUGGGAACUCGAGGAAUCGAUGAAAGUGCAUUAUCCUCAUCUGUUCACGGAAAUGCAUUGAGGUAUGAGUUGUUGAAUUCGUUUCGAAGACGAAACUCCUUUUUAGGAGGGGAGGAUGCAAGGAAGUGAAUUCUCGAAAUACGAGAGUUAGACUUCAUCCAGAAUCGAUCAAGGGUCGUGUUGGUGAGCUUUGGAAAAGCCAAAAAUGUCAAAUCACCAAAAGUGCAUUGGAAACGAGUCCACGAGAGCAAAUAGUGCAAAAUCUGCACUGGAGCAAAACUGCUCUCGGGGACCGGUCCCUGGCAGGAAGGGACCUGUCCCAUCGGCUGGUGGUUGCGGGGAUCCUUGAGGCAACCGGUCCCUGGCAGGGAAAGACCGGUCUCCGAACGUGAUCCGAGCGAGAAAAGCCAAAAUUUGGCUAAGUCCCGAAAAUCCUGCUCUCGGGAACCAGUCUUUCGGUCAAGGACCGGUCUUCCGGAGACCGAUCUCUCAGGGAAGGACCGGUUUCCGAAUGCGUGACCCGAGCUGAAGCUCUCGGGGACCGGUCCCAAGUCGGGAAGACCGGUCCCUCUAGGCGAAAAAUGCCCAGUGAGGGGCAGUGCACAGGAGUAAAAGGUGGGGGACUUAUGUGGAUAUUGUUACAAUAUGAGGUGAAUGGGACCCCUCCUCUCUCUCAUCUCCUCAUUCCACUCUCCCUUUCUCUCACACUCUUUCUCCCUCUCUCUCUAGCAAGAGAAGAACAAAGGAAAGAACAAAAAGGAGAAGAAAAGAGAAGGAAAAGAAGGAAGAAAAGGAAGGAGAAGAAGAAGGAGAUCAAGCUUGGGAGGCUUUUGGACCUCUCCCUCUUCCUCUCUUCUCAUUUGGAGGCUACACAAGAGGUAGGCUUCUAACCCUAGCUUAUGAAACUUAGGGUUUUUAGGUUUUGGGCUUUGAAAAUGGGGUCAAAUGGACCCCCAGCACCAUUAUUGGUGGAUGAAAGCUAGAGUCAGGGUUUCAAAUUGCAAAUGGCAAGAUGGGAACCCUAGGGCUCCAAAAUAGGGUUUUUGAUAAAGUAUGAAUUGAUCUCAUUUGAGACCUUGUAAACCUAAUUGGUAGGUGCCAAAACGCGGAGGCGAAGUCGGAUUUAGCAUUCGUCAAGUGGGUCGAGAGCUAUCGGCAAAAUAAGGCCUAUUGAGCAUCAUUUUGGACCAAGAAGACCGAGACUUCAUCGUAACGUUCGUUGGAGGGCACUUCUAGAGCCUCCAUACCCUCAAGAGGUGGGGGGUGUCACCCCGAAGCAUCCGGAUUUCUCCUUAUGUCUAAGUUAAUUUUAUUCAUCAUAUGUUGAUUGUGCAUUAUAGGAUUAGUAGAAGCAUAUUUCCACUCCUUGCAUGCUUACUUAGUAGUGUAGCGGUAUGGGCUUAACACUUGGACUAGGGAGGCAUGAGGAUUGGGUCUUGAGACAUAGAAUCCUAUAGUGGCAAAAGUGAUGAACUUAGACAUAGCCUAGUAGAGUGGCAUUGACUAGUGUGGUAGAAACACUAAACUUGAACGAGUGGCAUGUCGACUAGUUCGAAGAUAUUACUACAACGACUGAACGAGUGGCAUCGAGUCUAGUGUAGUAAACAUGACAUGAUUCUUGGGAUAGUAGAGGUCUCGGCAUCUAGGAUGCAUUGUAUAUUGUGCAGCAGAGGCACAUUGACCCUUGUAGAUAGAGUAUCCUCUUGUAAGGAUUGGAUCAUACUCACUAGUCUAUUUUCGCUGUCGGUGGUCGCUCCACCGUGGCACGAGUCUCUGGAGUACUUCACUAGGGGCAGACAUAGUUGUCCCGUAGACGGUCUCGGUGUGCGAGUGUAGCUUCUCCUCACCUAUGAGAUUGAGAGUGAGUCGAGGGUUUAACCUACGGGUUAACUAAGUAGAUUAGGUAAUAAACAUGGAAUGCAUAGUAAACUUACAUUAUUACCUUGAGUAGACAUAGUGUAUGUUGUAGUUUACAUUACUAUGCACUUUUAUAUGCUCAUGACAUAAUACUAGCAUGAUAGUAGUUGUUGCAUGCAUUAUUAUCAUUGAUGGCACGAUAGAGUAAUUGCAGUUUGUUUCUAUAUAUCUAUCUAUCUCUCUAUCUGUGCCAGCUUAGAUCUAGUGGGAAAGCCGGCGACAUCGGCGGCUGAACCCACUGGGAACUAUAUUUAUAUAGUUCUCGCCCCAUGUGGUUUUGGGAUACAGGUACACACAGGGGCGAGCCGAGCGAGGAUAGCGGCAAGGGCAUAGCGCCCUAAGUGAGUUAGUUAGUAGCUUUUCCCUUAUGCAUUAGAGUACCGCCGUGUACGAGACAUGAUGUGUAUUUUGGAUAGAUAUCGGAGAGCUACUUGUAUAUUUUGGAAGACAUGUAUUUAUAUUUUGGCAGAUGAAAAUGUAAUGUAAUCAACUUAUGUAAAUGUUGAAUGGUUGUAAUAGCUAGAUAUUUCUCUCUUUAUACACUUGUACAUUCACUCGUAGUUCUUGCUCUUAGUUAUAGUGCACUAGUGUGCAUCGUGAUUGAUCAUGUAUGUUAUUUAAGCAAUUCCUGGGUGCUUAAUUAUACUUGAUCAGGUUGUUUGGCCUUGGGCGGACAGGAAAGGUACUGUCCGUUCGGCGUCCGUCCGCCGUGCCCAAACCGUGCCAAAUUGGUAGCGGCAUCGGGGCGGGGGCGUGACACCUAAAUAUAUUAGGAUUGGGGUACGUUUUGGUGGAGUUUUAUAAAUAGCUCUUGAUGGGAUGCUUUUCGAGGGAGUAGGUACGAGAGAAUGCCUUCUUGGGUGCAACAGUACUAGGAGAGAGAAAAUAUAUGCUUUGAGUGCACCUAGUGCAUGGAUGCAUGUAGAGAGUUGUCUUCUUUGUGGCUUUAUAGAAACCGAGAGAAGGGUAAAAGAGAUUCAAAAAGAGAGCUCGGUUUGUAGCUACUCUAUUGUAGAAGAGGAGUCAGGUGUAAUCUUCUUUUAUUUAAUGACUCUUAUUUUACCCGCAUAUUUUCUGUUUUUGUUUUUUCUCUCUUUUAUGAUUGUAUCAGUUUUUGCUGAGGAGACGGGUUUAUGGUAAAAAUCCGAUUCAAUUCUUCCAUUGCGGAUUCCCAACAAGCAGUAAUGGAUCAACAACAGUCAGUAUCGGAGCGGGUUGCGGAUUCUCAAAAUUCGGUACCGGGGCGAAUACUGAAUUCCCCACAUUUGGUACCGAUUUAUAUUAGUUCUGCUUACAUUUUCUUUAAAGUCUCUACUUAAUCACAUCUUUUGAUUUAUUAAGAAACUUUUGUCAACUAACUGUAAUUUAUUUAUCCACUGCGAAGCGCAGGUCCUCUACUAGUAGGUAUAAAAGGAAGGAAUUGUUGUUCCACCCUCUAAACGGGUUGUAUGACCCGUUAAGAAGGGAAUAUGAAAUUCUUUUGUCGUUUGGGAAUACGGGUUUAGGGUUUACCACCCCGCUCUUCUCUGUACCUCUCCGACACCGAUCUCUCUCCUACGAGUAAUCCCUCUCCGACACCGAUCUCUCUGCUACGAGUAAUCCCUCUCCGACACCGAUCUCCCUCUCCUACGACACCAACCCUGCGGGACAAGCGAGGCACGAGUAAUCGCUUGUAGAGUUCGAUGUUUUGGCUUCAUAUCAGUGUUUUUGAUGCAAUUUUCGCUUAAUUUUCUCUGUUUCUUACGUUUAUUAGGCUUCUAGCUGCUCCGAUUUGGUAUUAGUUGCUUGAAUUUGGUACUACUCGCCUCGACCGAGAGAGACCCGUUGUGUCUUGCUUGGAUUGGGGUUUUCGAUUGCCCGGUUGCGGAGGUGAGCUCUCUUUGUGUGAUUGGGGGCCGAUCGGAUUCGCUUUUUUCAGCUACUCGAUCGGGAGCUCGGAGGACACGAAUUCGACGAGGUAAUCUGUGAAUCUUCCAUCUCAUCCUGUUGAUUCGUAAUUGCUUAAUUCCUUUGCUCUCAUGGAUGAUAUCGAGCUCUAUGUUUGGGAUUUGAUUAAUCUGGAACUGGAAUUUGAGGUGAAAGACCUAGAGAUCUUACUUGAACUGUAAUAAAAACAUGCAAUUUUGAAUUUUGGUAUCUGAACUGUAAAACUUUUGAAUUUUUUAUCUGAAUUGAUGAAUUUUAAAUAUUUUGAUUCUACUAGCUUACUUUUCGGAAUUUAAUGGAAUUGCAGAAUUAUUUUGUUUGAUUAGGAAAUAUUUGAUUAAAAAUGUUAUAAAUACAGUAAAGUUAGAUAGUAGAAUCAAAAUUUUCAAAGGUCGUGUGUCAGUGUUUCGAUAAAUAGUGUACGAUAAGGUAGUAAAAUAUUUUUUUUUUGAUGCUCAGGUAUCUAAUUUUAAUUGCACUGUAGUUCAUAUUAGGCGUAUAUGUUUUUACCAAAAUUUCGACCUUCUUACGCUGAACUUCAGAGGCAGGAGCAUUCUGCAUUUGAACAAUGAUAGUCCCAAUCAUGCUGAGAAAGUUAAAAAUACCUUUAUAUUCAAUACAUUUGUUCUCUGUCAACUCUUCUACGAUUGAGUCAACAUGAAAUUUAAAAUUUCAGUCCAAAAUCAGUUUAUUUUUUUGACAAAUAGGUCUCUUUAUUUACAUCAAGUGAAAACUAUGGCAUGUCAAAGUAAGUUUUGCGAUUGGAGAAUUUAUUGCCCGGGAGUGUGUAGAUUAUAUCUUUUAUGAAUUAAGUUCUUUGUAAUUUUGGUCAUAAUCUAAGCCAAAGGGUUUCAACUAACUACCAAUAAUUUAACUUUUGCUUGGAUCUUCUUAGUCUGCUAAACUGAAAGCUAUCAAAGAGAUUUUCAAAAGUGCUAUCAGAAAUAGUGGUUUUAAUGGAAAUCAUGAUAUUUGUAGGGACUUUCCUGCAUUUUAGCCUGAUGAAGUUAUGAUAAUAUCCUGGUGGUUUUAGAUUUCAUCUUUCUACCUAGACAUCAACAGUUGAUUAUUGGAGUUGAAUUUUUUGCAUUACUCUGUAUGAACUGUGUUCUCAAAUUAGGCUCUAAAUUUUACUUUAAUUGUUGCUUCACUUGGUUUUGGGGGUAGUGAUUAUCCGAAUGUUCAAAACUAUGAUUGUCUUUUAUUGCGUGAAUGUAUAGUGUUAAGUCUGGCUUGUUUUGUUUUGUUUUUUUGUUUUUUCCCUACUUUUCCGAAGUUGGCGGAGAAAGACAGAAUUCUUUUUAGUCCAAUAUGUGACAGAAAGUUUUCUCUAGAUGACUAAAUCAAUAUUUAGAUUCUUGUUCGGAUAUGUGCCUUCUAUUCGAUUUGAUGGUUUUCCAAAACAAUCACAAAAGACAUUUCUAGUGUUAAGGGGAAAAAAAAAAAUCUAUAAUAGGUUUUCUCUGAUAACAAACUUCUAUACAGAUGUAUUUGACCGGAUCACCAUUUAUUUUUACCAAUUAUUUAUUUGAUCUACAUUAUCUUUUAUAAUUAUGAGCUUUCUUUAUUUUAUAGGCUGAUUUUACAACUUCAUUAGUACUGUAUUGGAUAAAAGUUGGAUAAAAAAGAGUAGGUGGAUGUCUGAAUAUUACAGAGUGAAUGAUUUUGUGGAUUUUGCUUUUAAAAUGCGCAGAGGAUGGGAGGAUUUCAUAUCCUUGUAUGAAUGCACAAAUUCCUAUAGUUGGACUCGGGAAAUUGUACGCGAUCACCUAAUUUGCAAUGGAAUUAGUCCUAAUUAUGAUAAUUGAUUGUUUUACGGGGAAGCCAUAUCUAGAGACACAUCUAAUCCUACUAAUGAGAGCCGUAGUUUUCCGGUCCAUAAUGUGAAUGUUACUGUAUAUGACAUGCUACGUGAAGCUUUUCAAAUGCAUAAUAAUCAACUUCAAGAUGACUUUCGAGAUUAUAGUGAUUUUCAAGACACCUAGGGAAGGUUCUGAUUCACAACAACCUAAAGAUGCUCCAAAUGAAGAUGCAAGUAAAUUUUAUAGGUUACUUAAAGAUGCCGAAGAACCUUUGUACAAUGGUUGUGAGAAGUAUAACGAAUUGGCAGCUAUUGUAGUUUUAUAUCAUUUGAAGUCCCUUUACGGGUGGAGCAAUAAAUCGUUUAAUAUGCUCCUUGGAAGUACUAAAAGAUAUGCUUCCUUCAGGUUCUAAAUUGCUGGAUGAUUGCUAUCCCACGAAAAAUAUAUUAGGGACCUAGCAAGUUUAUUAAGUGAUACAAAUGACUAUCUUAGUUGAGUUAGAAAUGAUGUAGAUGAAACUAUAGCCAACAAGACGCUUGCUUCUGAAAACUUAUCACAAGAAGACAAAUACACAGAGAGCUCCGAGCUUGACGUUCUACAAGCGGUUGCUCUAACAAGUAAAGCAAGCGAAAUUGUAAUGUGGAUUUUCUUUUUAAUAUCUAACUUAAUGCAUGCAAAUAUAAAACUUGAUAUGAAUGGGCUUAACUUUUAGUUAUAUGGAUUUUAAGCUUUAUUAUCUACAGAUGUUAGAUGAUGCUAAUUGUUAAAAUAAAAGUAAUUGUGGCAUGUUAGAGUUUGGGCAUUUUGUUUCAAUAUCAUAAGCAAAUUAAAGAUAGGAAUGUCAUUAUUAUAAAAGUUGUAGUAAUUGGGUUGAUUUUUAUCUGGUAACUUUGGGUGCAUUGUGCUUGUUUUCUCAACUUUCAAAUUGUAAGAAUUUGGUCCUAACCUAUAUAUUUCUCACUGUAAACAAUAACUGCCAUUUACGUGGCUUUUCAACUUAUUAUAUGCGCGAGGAUUUCCUUAUAACAGCUUCUCUACUCAAAAGACGGAAAGUUAGGCAAUGAGCGCCAAUAGAAAAUGCAAAGCUUCUUUGUCCGUGGAAGCUUUGAAGUGUACUUUUAGGCAGUUACAUAGAAGUUCUAAUUUAAAACUUUCAUUUCUAGCCACGAUAUCGAUUGUUAAAUUAAAUAAGUGUAUUCAGACAAUUCACAUCAUCCCUAGACAUUCAAAUCUGACGAAGUUUCACUAGAAUCUCAAUGAUUCAAUUAGUGUCCUUUAGGAAUAGGAAUCUAACAGUAAACUUUAUUUUCAAUUCUAGGAGAACUUUAAAGGGUAAUUCGUUUCACCAGCUUUCAGCAUUUGUGGGAAUAUUGUCUAUUUUAUAUUCAGAACAACAAGUUUGUUAUCAGCUUAACCAUGCCAUUUUAGUUGGGAGGAUUUUAGGGACUUGAAUAUUCUUUUUACUGGGCUACUCAUGAUUUCUAUCAAGUAUGAAAAUGGCGGAAUCUCUUAUGGUCUUGUAAUAUUUCUAUUAUAGUAAUUUCACAAGUUUGCCAACGUCUCUUGUAGCUUUCCAACUUGAGUUGCAUGGUGACGAUUUGAAUAUUUCAAAUAGACACUAUGGAGGAUUCCCAUAAUAUUGCAAACCAUGAAAUGAACAGGCCAACCUAUAAUAGAAUUUCACUCUUCUUUUCCUUCCUUUUUUCCUACAACAUAUAAAAUUUUGGAAUAUAAAUUAAUGUUCAGAAGUUCUGCUCAAAUAGCAGUUUUACAAGAAGCUCCGUUGGAUUGGAUUUGGGAAAUAAAGCUUUAAAUGUAUGCAUGGUCUCUAUAGUCCAACAAUUUUGUUUUUUUUUUACCAUACUUGGACUGAAAAUGGGCUUCUUUUAGCCCAACAACCACUUUUAGCUCAAACUAUACAUUUUUAAUAAAACCCCUCGGAGUUGUUGUUAUUUUAUUUUACUCUUGUGAAGCAAAGAGAGAGAGUAACCAUGGCAGUAGCCUCCAUACUAUUCUCACCACCACUAUCCAAAAACUCACCAAACAGGUAAUAAUCUCAUCUCUUUUCCCAUCGAAAUAGCAACUAUUUUAACUAUUAAUCCUUCAAUAAUUUCUCUAUUUUCUUUUUUUCCCCUCCAAGGAUACUUCAGAAAUCUCAAGCUCUGAGAAUCUCAUCCGAUUACUCCCAAUUCGAAGUAUGAAUUAUGGUGUUUUUUUUGUCCCUUUUUAAUUUAAGUUAAAUCCUGCUCUCUCUUUUUCUUUUUUCUGUGAAAGAUGUGGUUCUGAUGCGUAAAUCGGAAUGGGGUGGAGAUUUGUUUAGGGUUUGUAAUACAGUAAGGGCAUGUGUAGUUCGCAAUUGGAUUUGGAAUUGAAAACGAUUUGAUUUAGCUUGUCAUUUGAAUAGGAAACGAAAUGAAUGAUUAAUGAUCACCGUUCGUACAAGAAUUAUGUUCUAUUGUUAUAUUCGAUGUUCUUUUGCUCAUGUUAUAUAUUUAUACCAAUGUUGUUCUCAUUACAUUGUCAAAGAAAUAUGAAGGGCUAUAUUUUCUAGAGUAUUCAGGAUGUUUAUUUAAACAUAUCACUUAUUGAAGCUCAGAGGGGGAUUUUUUUGAAAAUAACCCUGUAGAAUUUUGUAAUUGGCAAAAUGACCCUCUGAAAAAUUUAUUUGUAAAACUAACCCUCCUUUCGCCACGUCGGCGCCAGCUUGGACAUUUCUCGUAAAGACGGUGAAUCGUUCACCGCCGUUGCAUAUUUCUCGUGAAGGCGGUGAAUGGUUCACCGUCUUAUGAAGGCGGUGAACUAUUCACCGUCUUUAAAGCAAAUACACCCCUGCUCCCCUUACAAGGCCACUCUUACAAGGCCACCUUACCUGUGUACACCCCCGCUCCCCUUACAAGGCCACCCUUACAAGGCCACCUUACCUGUGCCCUCGAUAAGACGGUAAAUGGUUCACCGUCUUAUCCGUGCUGCACUAAAGACGGUGAAUGGUUCACCGUUUUAUCUGUGUAAAAGCCCCCAGUCCAGGACUUAGCCAUUUUUUUGCGGGUUUCUGGAUUUGCACUAAAGGCGGUGAACCAUUCACCGCCUUUAGUGCAAACAGCACCAGGUGCUAAUUUCUGCUCAAUUUUGGCGUCAAUUUCAACAAGUUUGAAGCAAGUUUUUUCACGAUAACAAAUAUUCAAACAAGAAACACAACACGAGUGGAAUAACAAAAUACAAUCAACCGGAUAAACAUAUCAAACAAAACACUUACAAAUAUACAAAUAUGAACUAAAUCAAGUAUUAUAUAAUAUUAUACAAAGUAUGUUCUCUAAAUAAAAAAAAUACAAUCAGUCUCUCGAUCUUCCUCUCCCUCGACGUCCUCGGCCACGUCUACGGCCACCCUGUACAUCGAGCUCAGCAAUAGGUACGUCAUCAAGAGCCUCAAUACCGGCCAUCUGAUCGAGAUCCGCAAUGAUAAUGCCCUCGGNAUAUAUAUAUAUAUAUAUAUAUAUAAAAUACAAAAUAAAUUCGAAUUCGGGUUGGGUUCAGGUUCGGGUCAGGUAUAGUAAAAAUCCAUAUUCGUCGGAUUUUUAUUUUUGAUAUCCAUAUCCGAAUCCAUAUCCAUUUAGUAUCGAAUAUAUCCGUUUUAUUCGGAUUCGAGUUCGGAUUAAAUUUCGGAUAUCCAUACCAUUGGCAUCCCUAUUCCCGCUUUGUGGGAUCUACUUAUACGGUUCGGUUGAAUUUAUGGAAAGCUAAUUGGACUUUUUUCGAAAAUAACCCUGUGAAAUUUCGUAAUUGCCAAAAUAACCCUGUGAAACUUUUAUUUGUAAAACUAACCCUCCUCUUGCCACCUCAGCCGCCAGAUCAGCGUUUCUCACGAAGACGGUGAUUCGUUCACCGUCUUUGGGGACCCAUUUUGAAUGCGGUGAAUGGUUCACCGUCUUCUCUAGGCGUGGACCAUUCACCGCCUUCUCAGCAAUUCCCUGCGUACCCUAAGGUGUCUCGAGAAGACGGUGACUUGUUUACCGCCUUAUUGAGCCGGUGAAUCGUUUACCGUCUUAUCGAGGCUUCAACCAUUCACCGCUUCCUCUGCCUGGAGAAGACGGUCACUCGUUUACCGCCUUAAUAAAGGCGGUGAAUCAUUUACCGCCUUAUCAAGGCGUAAACCAUUCACCGCCUUCUCAGCAAAUCCCCCGCCCAACAGCCCGGGUUUGUGGCAUAGAUAAGACGGUGAAUUGUUCACCUUCUUUUGAGUAAAACUCCCACCCAGCCUAAUUUGGUUAAGUCCUGGUGGCCGGGCUAAAACACCUAUAAGACGGUGAAUCGUUCACCGUCUUAUCUGUUGUACACUAAAGACGGUGAGUGGUUCGCCGUCUUUAGUGCAAACACCACCCAGUCCAGGACUUAGCCAUUUUUUUUCCCGGGUUCUUGGAUUUGCACUAAAAGCGGUGAACCAUUCACCGCCUUUAGUGCAAACAACAUCAGCUGCUGAUUUAAGCUUGAUUUAAAAAAAAAAUUCAACAAGUUUAACGCAAGUUUUUUCACGAAAACAAAUAUUCCAACAAGAAACACAACAUCACGAGUGGAAUAACAAGAAACAAUCAACAGAAUAAAAAUAUCAAAAAAAAACCCCGAGAAAUAUACAAAUAUGCACUAAAUUAAGUAUUAUAUAAUAUUAUACAAAGUCGAAGUUAUCUAAAUCAAAGAUAUACAAUCAGCCUCUCGAUCUUCCUCUCCCUCGACGUCCUCGGCCACGUCUACGGCCACCCUGUACAUCGAGCUCAGCAAUAGGUACGUCAUCAAGAGCCUCAAUACCGGCCAUCUGAUCGAGAUCCGCAAUGAUAAUGCCCUCGGGAUGCUUUGGAAUCGCCUGAGUCUCCUCUGGCUCAAGUCGAUCACCCUCGAUAGUGGCCGGUGUAGAUGCUAGGCAGGCCUGUGAUGAUGACGCGGCAUGACGUCGAGAGUAGACUAAUCUAAAGUGCUCUCGAGAGACUGGCGGCGGAAGCGAGUCCAAGUCCAAUGGCAAGGAAGGAAAUCUUGAAGGGGCGGCGAGUAUAUCUGCAACAUCACUAGGAGAUGGAGAUCGUGACACUCGUAGGCUCGACCUCGAGUAUGAUCCAGUCGAUGUCGGUGAGUGUCUCCUGUGAUGACCCGAUGUCGAGGGUUGACCAAAAUCUCGACCUCCAACAUUAGCAGCGACAGGUAUGGAAGGAAUGUACUCCAGUACUGACUCAAUAUCGACAUCCAUGCUCGCCAAUGUCUCCAUCAUCGCAUCGUAAGAAGGUCGAUCAUGAACUAGCCCUCUGAUGCCCAUUUGAGUCUGUCGUAAUACGUCCACCUGCAUUAUAGAUAAAAACUCACUAUUUGCAAUCUAUAUUAACUAUAAGAUUAAAAAAUAAAUUAACAUAUGAGUGAUCGUACCAAAGCUUUCUCAGUCUGGCCGCGAGGCAGGUAAGUCAAUGGUGGACGCUGUACUGAACGAGAAAUCCAUCUUCUCGUGAUCUGCCAAUACCACUCCAUAUAAAUAGAUGUCGCCUGAACCGGGUCAUCACCGACAAUUGGAUGCUGGUCAAUAGUAGCCUGUAAUCGCUGUCCCCAUCUCUCGAUGUGUGCAAAAUGAAAGUGGGCCCAAUCCUCAUCUGGUCGCCCCUGAGAUGUGAAGCGACGGAUUGUCUCCACGUGAAUUGGUAUAUGCUGCAGGAGACCAAACUGCCGAAGGACUCGAUCGGGCACGUGAAGCUCAACGAUAUGAAAACAAAUUAGCGUCGUCCGCGAUCGCCAUACCGCACUGUCCUGUACACAGAAUGCCGGCAGCACAUCUAUAACAGCAUCUGUGUACGGCCGCCAUGUAAUCUGUGAAAAAGCUAAUAAUAGUCAGCAGAAUGCAUUAAUACGGUUGAAUAUUGAAAAAAUGGUUGCAUUAAUACGUACCUGGGACUCUCGCUGCUGAUCUAGCUCAUCUCCAUAGAACUCAAUAUCGGUCGUCCUAACAUUUGCCCCAAAACGUAAACCGUCGGCGUUCGUCCACCUAAUAUUUGAAAAGUAUGUUAAUUCCAAAUAUAUAUACAGAAAUGUAAUAUGUAUCAUAUUUAAUUGUGUAAAAAAGUGAAAAACUAGGUUAAAACUACGUUACCUAGUUUAAAAUGGGUGUACAUGUUUAUAUUACGUUCAAACGUAGUUUAACCUUUAGACCUAGUUUAAAACUAGUUUAAACUAGGUUUAAACCUAGUUUAAACCUUUGAACCUAGUUUAAACUAGGUUUAAACCUAGAAAUUAGGUAGGUUUAAACCUAGAAAUUAGGUAAUUUCUAGGUUUAAACCUAGUUUAAACUAGUUUAAACCUUAAGGGUUUAGGGUUUAGUUUAAAACUAGGUUUAAACCUAGUUUAAACCUUUGAACCUAGUUUAAACUAGGUUUGAACCUAGUUUCUAGGUUUAAACCUAGUUUAAACCUAGUUUAAACUAGGUUUAAGGGUUUAGGGUUUAGUUUAAACCAGUUUAAACUAGGUUUAAACCUAGAAACUUGCUAAGAGAGGUUUAGACUUGCAAUGGGUUUAGGGUUUAUACUAGUUUAAACUAGGUUUAAACCUAGAAACUUGCUAAGAGAGAUUUAGACUUGCAAUGUGGAUUGCUGUGGCACGGGGGAAGGCUCGGUGGGUCGACGGCGACCGGCGGCGGCGACAUCGGCUGGGGCGGUGGCGACUGGGGGCGGCGACGGGGGGGUACGGCUCUUGGUUGGAGAGGGAUGGGCAGAGAGGGAGAGAGAGACAGAGAGAUAAGAGAGAGAAAGAGAGCGAAGAGAGAGGGAGAGGUGUCGGGGUCGGGGCUGGGUAUACCUAGGUAAGACGGUGAAUCGUUCACCGUCUUCAUGAACAUAGUGAAGACGGUGAACGAUUCACCGUCUUAUCUAAGGAUACCCGCUGGCGGGUGUCUGCAAUGAAGACGGUGAAUAGUUCACCGUCUUUAGUGCAGCACAAAUAAGACGGUGAACUAUUCACCGUCUUAUCUGUGUUUUAGCCCCGCCUCCAGGACUUGGCCAAAUUUCGGGUGGGUGGGGGUUAACUAUAAAGACGGUGAAUGAUUCACCGUCUUAGUUAAGACGGAACUAAGACGGUGAACCGUUUACCGUCUUCUCGAGGGCACAGGUAAGGCCGCCUUGUAAGGGGAGCGAGGGUGUAUUUGCUCUAAAGACGGUGAAUGAUUCACCGCCUUCAUAAGACGGUGAACCAUUCACCGCCUUCACGAGAAAUAUACAAAGGCAGUAAACGAUUCACCGUCUUUACGAAAAAUAUCCAAGCUGGCGCCGACGUGACGAAAGGAGGGUUAGUUUUACAAAUAAAUUUUUCACGGGGUCAUUUUGCCAAUUACAAAAUUCUACAGGGUUAUUUUCAAAAAAAGUCCCUCAGAGGUUGUAGUUUUUAGAAGAGGUAUGAACCUGUCGAACGGGGCGAGAGUUGUGCACUGAAUUUGUAUUCAAUUAUUGUUCGAAUGAGCUCAAAUGGCUCAUUGACUAGUGAAAGGCGUGCUUGCUAAAAGAAUGAACAAAUUAGCUUCUGUCAUUAAGAAUAUUUGCAUUCUCAUGCUAUUUAUGUUGCUUCCACGUACAUUUUUAAACGUUGUUUUUAUACGUUUCUAAGUGUUUGGAGCUUUUUUACCAAUACAGUUGAUUUAUUUAAGGUGAGAAAAGUCAGUUACCGACCUCCUGGUACCCAACACAACCUAUUGAAUGAAGUUAGCCUUUCCCUGCCAGAGAAAAGGUAAACACGAGAAGUCCAACAUCAGUUUCGCAAUAAGCACCAUGAGAUGCGUUAAAUUUUGUAUUACUACUGCUGAAUCCAUGGUCGCUGCAGCUUUGGCUUGAUAUUUGGACGCAGUGGAAGUGGGAAAACCACUCUUUUACAGGUCCGCCCUUCAACACUUUUAGUUCAUAGAAAAUUGCUUUGCCUUCUUAUAUUAGCUUGUGGACUAAAAGUUCUUUUCCUUUCCUAUCUUUUUUAUUCAGCUUUUGUCGGGAUUGUCCGAACCUACCUCAGGGUCAAUUUAUGUUCAGAGCUAUAGCAAUGAUGGAAAUCCAAAUCAACAUCCUCAGUUGUUGUCACCAGAGAGGGUUGGCAUUGUUUUUCAGUUUCCUGAGAGGUAUGAAAUGCUGCAGUUAAUUUCAUAAUGUAAAUCUAGUUGACAAGAUAAAUCUAUCAUAUUAAAUUUUUCAUUGUUAGGUAAUCUUUUAGUCCUCUUAGCCUGCAUUGUGAUUCCGAAGUGUCGUGUGGUAGGUUCUUUUUGGCUGAUACAGUGCUUGAGGAAGUUACGUUUGGAUGGCCAAGACAGAAGGCUGACCUUCUCUUACGGCAACAGCUUGCUUUGAAACUUCAGUAUGCCAUUAACUCGGUAUAACAAUUGUUGCUUGUACCUGCCAUGUUCUCUUUUCCAACUUAUUUCAUCAUUGCUCAAUUUUUCAAGCAAAUAUCAUUAGUAUUCAAUUUAGUAUCCUAAGUUUGAAACUCUGCCAACACCAUGCUUAAUGAUUUACUCUUUGAUUUGACCUCAAUGCAAAUAUGAAUUGAAUUCCAAUCUGAAAGGAGCAGAAUCUCUUUGCAAUCCUGACAAGUAAUUCAGGGGCUAAAUUUGUAAUUAAUCCUUUCGGUAACAAGUUAUGUAAGUAACUUAUUUCAAGUUCUGAGAGCUUCCAAAUUAACAAUUAUUUCAUGAAAACUUUAUUCGAACCUCAGGUUGGUCUGAACACAAUAUCCUUGGAUGAAGAUCCACAUACUCUAAGUGGUGGUUUCAAGCGGCGCCUUGCCCUGGCUAUUCAAUUGGUAAGUUAUCCUUUUGUAGUUGGUAGUUCAACCUCUAUGAGUGAUUAGCUGAUACUUUUUUUUCCACGACUCGAAUUAAUCUGUUUUUCUUUUGGGUGCAUAUAUCCAGGUUCAAACACCUGAUCUAUUGCUAUUAGACGAGCCACUUGCAGGUCUUGGUAGGACAUACUACACCUAUGCAUUACUUUCUGAAUUGUUGUUCGCAUAUACCCCUGCCAGAUAUCUAUAUGUAUUUAUCUUUGCAAGCUUGAAUUUUCAUUGUGCCCUUAAAAAGCUUGUUCAUAUAUUAUUCAACUGACAGAAAUGCCCCUCUUAAAAUAAAACUUGGUAAAAUCACAGAAACACAAGCUGAGUUACCGUGCAUUCUGCAAUGGGUACUUGAACUUUACACUAUUUUGAGUUGAAUAUGUACUUUUUAAUCAUUUUUUAUUUCACUACCACUCCAUCAAAACUUAGCGGUGCUUCUAACUUUUUUGAUCGAUAUUAUGUAACCUAGCAGAAUAUUUUGCUAGUUAAUGAAAAAUUUUAUUUUAUUUUUGUUGGAAACCAUAAAGUUACUAUGAAACCUCAGGGUGUAGGUACCGAAAUUAAAACCUACUUUUGAAGUUUGACAUCUCAAAAUGUGUGAUUGUUUAGUAAGUAUUUGUAUGGUUGAAGCAUAAACUCUUUUUCGACAAUACCAACUUCUGCUAUGAAUUGGAUGUCUUAACAAAGCUAAUUGGUCUUUCAGUAAUGCAAAAACAUAUUGAGGGGUAUAAUAUGCAAACAGAUGUUUCACGUAUGUGUGUGUGCGUGCACGUGCAUGCGUGUGCAUGUGAUUACCUGACUAACUUUAGAAUGUUCAUAUUAGAAUAUAAUUGUCAACGAUUUAUUUUAGUUGUUUUUUUAUUUAGUUAAUCUCGAGAAAUCAACAAACUUUCAUCAAUUUUAUUUUUGAUUUUUUGUAUGUCCUUUUUCCACAUUUGAGAUUAGAUUGGAAAGCUCGGGCAGAUGUUGUGAAGUUGCUAAAGCACCUAAAGAAGGAUCUCACUAUAUUGGUUGUGAGCCAUGACCUAAAGUAAGUUUCUCUUCCUUCUGCUCCAACCACAACCCCCAGUAAUUUAUUAGGUCUAAAAAAAGAAUUCUUUAAUUCACAAUUUUCUCUCAGAAGCUUAUCAAUAAUUCUUCUUUGGAGUUCUUUUUACCAGAUGAAAUAAAAAUUUAGCAUCAAAUUGACCGAAGCAUCUGCACACAUUACAUAUACAGAUAACAAUGAUUCGGGUAUAACCAUUGUUUUAAGAAGAGUAAUAUCAGAUAGCUUUAUGUUGCACUGUAACUUUUAGAGCAAGGCAACAUGUAGUGCAUUUAAAUAGAAGUCAUAAUUUGUUAUAUUUUCUUAUGUAUCCCAGUAACCAUGCUUGAUAAUACAAAAUAUCUAUUAUUUGAUAUGAUUAUAUAAUAUUAUUAUUAAGCGAUGUUAGUUGCGAUAUUAUAUUAUAGAAUUGUUUUUUGUUCAUUACUUGCCAACUUCUGAUAAUCAUAGUGUUAAUAUACAAAUCAUGAUAAGUAGUUUAUAGUGACGUCAGAGUAAAAUCAGAGUAGUACUUGUGUCCUAUUAGGAGCACAGAGGCCUUCCUCCUCCUAAGCCGUUUUUGAUGAUGGGACUUCCGAAUCGACGAUCGGCUCUGUUUGACUUAAUCUAGCAUAUUUGAACUAUCUAGAAAAUAAAUUUUGCGGUUUUUCGAUAUCAUUUAUCAAGUGAUCGAAAUGAUUCAAAAUCAACGACUGAAAAUAAAAAUCUCACAGAGUUAUGAUGUAGCACUAAAAUUUUCGAUCAGAGAUAUUAAUCUUGUUGUAAAUAGUAUAAAGAAUUUUUUGUCAAAAUUUCAUCUGAUUUGAAUACUUCUACACCGUGAAACUUACAAACGGCGUACAUCAAUCAUUAAAAAUUGUUGAUUUUGAAUCCUCUCAACUAGAUAAAUGAUGUCAAAAAUCCGCAAAAAUUAUUUUCUAAAUAUUUCAAAUGCCCUAGAUCAAGUCUGUCAGAGUGAUCGUUGAUUCGAAAUUCCCGUCAUCGAAAAUAGCUUAGGAGCACGGAGGCCUUCUAAUAGCACACAAGACCUACUCGUAAAAUCAUCCUAUAAUAGCGUAAUACAAUAUAUUAUGAAUAUAUUGUAUAUAGUAUUGUAGAGUUGCGCUGGAAUACUAUCGGUAGCAAACGGGCUCCGUUGCCACCCAUUUGUUUUCGAUGAUGGAGCCUCCAAAUUGACGAUCGGCAUCGUUGAAAAUGAUCUAUACCACUUGAAGUAUCUAGAAAUCAAAUUUUAUACUUUUUCGAUAUUAUUUUCUUGUCCAUCAAGUGUGCGUAAAAAUGAAUGGCUGAAAAUGAAUAUCCUCUAAAAAGUGAUAAUAGAAAUUUUGUAAUCAUGAUCAAGAGUAUAGAUCUUGUUCUAAAUAGUUUAAAGAAUUUUCUAACCAAAAUACAAUUGAUUUGGAUAGCUUUACACCGUUAAACGAGAAAACCCCUCAUAUCAACCAUUAAAAUUACUAAUUUUGAAACUCUUUAAUCAUUAGGUAAAUGAUGUCGAAAAGAUUUGAAAUUUAAUUUCUAAAUACUUCAAGUGAUAUAGAUCAUGUUCAACAGUGCCGAUCGUCGAUUUGAAAGCUCCAUCAUCGAAAACAAAUGGGUGGCAACGGAGCCCGUUUGCUACCGAUAGCAUUCCAGCUCAACUCUAGUAUUGUAAUAUACUCUCAUAAUAUAGGUAAAAUAACAUAUAAUGUUCGGUAUAAAGAAGCAUUAGUCUAAAAUUCAUCAAUUUUCGCAAUCUUUUCUCCAAACAAAUCAACAGGUAAAGGUGACGACAAAGUUGUUUUGAGGAUGAUGAGAACAUCUGUUAACCGGUUGUUCUGGAAUUACCUACUUUGAUUGAGAUAACUUACUUUCCAAGAAAGUUAAGUUGCCGAACAAAAUAGGGAUAUUCUUGCAAUAUCCCUCAACCAAGCUGGGUGUCCAACUUUUCAUUCCAUCAUAGAUUCAUAGUGUCACAGUAAAAAUCCUGGUCUAUUUUUUUCAGCAAAUGUCAUAUUAUCGCUUCUUUCGAAAUUGAGAAGACAUUGCAGAAACCUUAUCAAAUGCCACUAAGUCGCCGAUUCUGAGAAGAUUUUAUCUUUCUAGAUUAUGCUUACUUAGGCAAACUGAGUAGAGUAUGUCUGCUUCUAGUUCUCUUUUGCUAUUCUUGUUCUAUUUUUUUUCUUUGUGCUUGCCUUAAGUGUUAAUUGUUGCAGGGAGCUGUCUUCCCUGGUGGAUUUCUCUUGGAGGAUGGAGAUGGGUGGGAUACUAAAAGAAGAGCCUUUACCUGUUUGAUCUGCAUUCGGUCGUAAUCAGUGUACGAAAUACCACUUUUUGGCGGUAAAACUAAUAAGAGAAGAGGGUUACCACUUUUUUGCGCUUAAACCAACAAGAGACGAGGGUUUACUUGAGGGAUUGAAGUUGCCAUGAACUAAAAUGGCUGGGCCUUUUUUUUUUUUUUUUUUUUUUUUUUUUUUUNUUUCUGAUUAAAAGUGUAUUGGGUUCAAAAUUUUGGAUUAACAAAUAAGAUGAUUUUAGACGAAGGACGGUGAGAACUUGUGUGUGCGUACUUUUGAGAGGUUUCCCUAUUAAUAUUAAACUAUCGAAUUAAGUAUGUGAUAAAUAGAGAGCUCAUUAAUUCGUAGCAUAUUGAUGGACUUGUUUGGUUUAGGAGUGGAAUUAAAAUGAAUAAUGGAAUAGGAAAUGAAUUGGAAUGGUAAUUGAAUUCGCUCGCCCCCUCGAGACUGUUGGUUCAUUUCUGGAUUGGAAAGUGGGUUGGAUUAUUUUCAUUCCACUGUUUGGUUUAUAUAAAUUGAAAAAUAAUAGAAUAAUAACAUAAUACUAAUUUUAUCUCAAAUAUAAUUUUAUAAACUAUUUAAAAUUUAUAAGAAAUUUAAUUAUAUUCUAAAAUUAUUAGAGCUUUGCAAAAACAAAAAAUCAAAUUUAUUUUAAAAAUUUUUAUGUAAGAAAAAAGGAAAUUAUAAAAAAGUGCAUUAAAUUUUUUUAACAAAAUUAUAAUAGGAAUAUGAUAUAUCAUUGUUAACAUAAAUAAAAUGCAUUUUGAAAUGACUGAGACCUUAAACUUUGACUAAGGCUUCGUUUGGGAUAGCGGGGGAUUGCGUUACGUGCGGUGAGAAAGUACGUUGAAAAAAAUAUCCUGUUUGUUUUCGUACGUAAUAUUGCGUUCCGCAUAUCGCGAUGAGUCGGUUACGAUAUAUUUUCUACGGUCUCACCGGAAAACGCAGAAGUAUAUCCCUAUAUGCUUUUUACUCACCUCCAUUUUUUCUAGUAGCGUUAGAUAUGUCUCAAUACCAAACUAAGCCUAAGAAAUCUAAUAAAACUAGUAAAGAUACCUGCGUUGCAGUUGGUCAAUUCUAUAGUAACAAAUGAUUAAAAAAAGCUAAGAGAGGUAGUAAAAGCUUAAGAAGAAUUUUAAAAAAAAUUGAAUGACAGACAAAUGAAGGCAGAAAUAGCUGAAGCAACAACAACAGGGAUAGGCAUAAGUAGAACGAGAUUUAGAGUUGUAACAGUUGAAAAAAACCCACAAGAGUUGGUGCUAAGAAAAAACAAUAGUCAGCAGCUGUAACAGGAUUGUGCAUGUAUUACAGUGAUAAAAAACAGUCUUUUGUACUAAAUCAAUUAUUUCUGUGUUCUAAACAAAUGAAACGCAAAUUGAGCUAUUAGUAAUUAAUAUCAAAGAUACUUAAUAAUUAUAAAAUAGGGAAAACUUUAAAAAAAACCUGUGAUUUCGUACUUUCUCACUUUAGUACCCUGUGGUUUAAAGUGUAUUAAUUUGGUGCCCUUUGGUUUCAUUUUUAUCUUUUCGCCAGCUUUUUCGUUAAUAUUUCGUUAAAUUAUGUACAAAAAACUUCAGAUAUCUACCUAGGUUUAUUGAAUAUUCACUUUAGCAUCCUUUAAUUUUAAUUUUUUCACUGAUUUUAGAAAAAAAGACAAUGAAAUUGAUAAUAAAAAGAGAAAAAUGAAACCACAAGGCACUAAAUUGAUACACUUUAAACCAUAGGGCACUAAAGUGAAAACGUGCGAAACCACAGGGGAGGUUUUUGAAAUACUCCCUAUAAAAUAUAUAAGAUAUUGGAGCUAAAGUAUAAAAAAUAUAUAACUCUCAGAUCUACCCAUCAAUCAAACAUGAAGAUUCAAUCUCAAUGCCCGUAAUUUGGAAUAGUUGAAGUGCUACUAAAGGGCCGUUUGGUUAGAUAUAAUUAUAAAUGCAGUGUAGUUAGACAUGCAGUUGGAAAUACAGCAGUUAUAACUAUAUGAAUCUUGUUUGGUUGGAUGUAGUAGAAAGCGCUACAAGUAUAAAUAAAUUGUUUGGUUGCAUACAGUUGAGAAAUAAUUUUUUAAAUUUUAUUAUUUUAUAUAUAUGAUGGUGAUAUUACCUCCAAUGUAAAAAAAAAAAAAAAAAAAGUUUAAAAAAUAUUGAGGAGGUAAGCAUACCUUUUAUUUAAAAUUACUCUCUCCAACUGCUGUAGUUGGAACUGCGGCCAAUUUGGGUGUAGUUCGAACUGCUGCAGUUGGCCUUCUCCUGCAGUUCCUACUGCAGCAGUUGGAGUUAAAUACAUCAAACCAAACACGAAAUUUGUAUUUACAUACAGUUACAACUGCAAUGCAGUUGCAACUAUAUGCAACCAAACGGCCCCUAAAUAAAGUAGUAGAAACUCGGAGAGACAGAAAGAGGGCUGUCUAUUACUUGCUAAUUCCAAGGAUGAUCAUCCUUGGAAUUGGCAGGAACCAGCCUGCCUUUGUUGCCACUCGCUAGGGUGAGUCUACUUGUGUCGAUCGUCGAUUUGGAAGCUCUAUCAUCAAAAAUAAAUCGGUAGUAAACCGAGCAGUUUACUACCGGUAGUAGCCCAGUCAAACUCUAUAUAUAUAAAUAUAUAUAUAUAUAUAUAUAUAGAGUCCAGCGAUGGUGCUUGUAAAAGCACAAAGCACUUGGUGCUUGUAAGUUUUAUACCGUUAGAUCUACUCCUCGGAUCAUUUUCAACCAUUAGAUUAUACUAUUCAACCAACCACCCACUCAACCCUAGGGGGCCCACAUCAUCCUAACCGCAUAUCUCUUAAUCCAAUGGCUCUACAAGUACCAAUAACUCGGUACUUUUAAAAGCAUAAGAGCUCAAUUCUAUAUAUAUAUAUAUGAGCAGGGCUGCUGUACUCUUAGGAGCACGGAGGCCUCCGUGCUCCUGAGCCGUUUUCGAUGAUGGAGUUUCCAAAUCAACGAUCGGCUCCGUUAAACUUGAUCUAGCCUAUUUGAAGUUUCUAGAAAAUAAUUUUUACGAUUUUUUGAUAUCAUUUACCUAACAAUCGAAAGGAUUCAAAAUCAAUAAUUUUUAACGGCUGAAAAUAAAAAUCCUAUAAAAAGUGGUGAUAUAGCACUAAAAUUUCGAUCAAAAAUAUUGAUUUUGUUGUAGAUAGUAUAAAAAAAUUUUGUAUCAAAAUUUCAUCUGAUUUGAAUACUUCUAUACCGUUAAACUUGAAAACGGCAGAUAUCAACCAUUAAAAAUUAUGAAUUUUGAAUUCUUUCGAUCACUAGGUAAAUGAUAUCAAAAAAUCNAUGUAUGUUUAUCAAUUAUUUUCAACAAAUCAAUCAAAAAUUUAAAUAUAAAUAUCAAACAUACCUCCCAAAAGUAAUUAUUGAGUAUUUCUUGGGAUAGGGGCAAAUAUUUAUGCGCUAUGAAAAUUUCAAUAUUAUGACGAAGUCCAAAGCUAGUGGUAUGUAUCCUGAAAAAAAAGAGAAGAUAAUAUAUACAUUACAAACCGACCAAAUCAUUACACAUAAUUAUUUUCAAAUUUUAAAAUAAACUAACCUUUUGUAGAAAGAUGGUGCAUAAAGGUGGAAAAUAAGUCUGCCUCCAUCUAUCAUACAUAUGGAUGAUAACAUUAAUAAAAUAAUGGCAUGCACUUGUAAUACAUACAUAUGGAUGAUAAAAUUUGUAACGUUUUAGAUAUUAACUGUGAAAGAUGAAUAUGGUUCACAAUCAAAGAAAAAGGGGAAAAAAAUAACUGUUGUGCGGUUAAGAAAAAAAAAUAACUGUUGUGUGGUUUAGGAAAAAAAUAACUGUUGUGCGGUUAAGGAAAAAAAAUAACUGUUGUACAGUUUAGAAAAAAAAAUAACUGUCGUAUGGUUGAGGCAAAAAAAACUGCUGUGCAGUUAUUUUUUGGUACGUGUAGUUAUGCUCUCUUAUAAUUACUUAAUGAUAAUUAUAAUAUAUAAAAUAUAGGGAAAACUUCAAAAACCCCCCCUGUGGUUUCGUGCAUUCUCACUUUGCUACCCUGUGGUUUAAAACGAAUCAAUUUGCCCCCCUGUGGUUUCGUUUUUAUCUUUUUGUUAUCAAUUUUAUUAUUAUUAUUUUUUAAAAUCAGUGACAAACUUAAAAUUAAAGGAUACUAAAGUGACUAUUCGAUAAAUAUAGAUGGUUAUCUGAAGUUUUUUGUAUAUAAUUUAACGAAAUAUUAACGAAAAAGCUUCCGAAAAGAUAAAAAUGACCAUAGGGGGGUAAAUUGAUACGUUUUAAACCACAGGUAGCAAAGUGGAGAUGCACGAAACCACAGGGGGUGGUUUUUUGAAGUUUUCCCUAAAAUAUAUAUAAUGAUAAUAUAUAUAUAUAUAUUAUAUAUAUAUAAUAUUAUUAUAUAUAUAUAUAUAUAUAUAUAUAUAUUUAAUAUAUAUAUAUAUAUUAUAUUAUAUAUAUAUAUAAAUAUUUGUGAACUAAAAAAUAUAUUAUGAUAGUUAAAAAAUAUUAUUAUUGAUAAGUGCGCCACGUGCACAUUAGAACUUUUCAUGUAAAUGUGCCACGUUGGAUCUUAUGGUUCAUUGUGAUAAAAUAUAUAUAUAUAAAAUAUAUAUAUAUAUAAUGAUAUAUAUAUAUAUAUAUUAUAUAUAUAUAUAUAUAUAUAUAUAUUUGUGAACUAAAAAAAUAUAUUAUGAUAAGUUAAAAAAAUAAUAAUUAUGAUAAGUGCGCCACGUGGCACAUUAGAUUUUCAUGUAAGUGCACACGUGGCAUCUUAUGGUUCAAUUGGAACCUAUGCUUCCAAAAUUAGAUAUAUAUAUAUGAUAUAUAUUAUAUUAUUAUUAUACUAUAUAUAUAAAUAAUAUAUAAUAUAUAAUAUAUCUGUAUAAUAAACAAAUUUUGGGGAUCCAAGGAAAAGAAAUUAGAGGAGUGAGGCUACUAUGCUUCUGAAGCCGGAGCCUUCGUGCUUCAGUGUUUUUUGAUGUUGCGACUUUCAAAUUGUCGAUCGGCUCCGUUAAAAUUUGAUCUAGAGUAUUUGAAAUAUCUAGAAAAUAAAUUUUGCAAUUUUUCGAUAUCAUUUGCCUAGUGAACUAAGGGGCUCAAAAUCAACGGCUGAAAAUAAAAAUCUUACAAAACGUGAUAAUAUGACAUUAAAAUUUUAGAUCAAAGAUAUUGAUCUUGUUUUAUAUAGUAUAAAGAAUUUUCUAUCAAAAUUUCACGUGAUUUGGAUAUUUCUACACCGUUAAACUUGCAAACGGCUCACCACGGCCAUUAAAAUUAUUGAUUUUGAGUCCCUUUGAUCAUUAGGCAAAUGAUAUCGAAAAAUCAUAAAAUUUAUUUUCUAAGUACUUCAAAUACUCCAGAUCAAAUUUAACGGAGCCGAUCGACGAUUCGAAAGUCACAACAUCGAAAACGACUUGGAAGCACGGAAGACUGCGUGCUUCCAGAAGCACAGUAGCCUCACUCAUAUUAGAGGAUACAUUGAAAUAGAUAGGAAUUUAUAGAGUUUGUUUAGCACAAGAUCUCAGGAAAAAGAAAGGUAGCUUAGUACAAAUAUUAAUAGGUGUUAAUAAUGGCGGACAAGGGUAUAUCAUCAUAGCUAACUGGCACAACCGACAUCGAAUGAGAGAGCAUAUCCAAGUAUCAUCUAAGUUAUUAAUAAUCGGAGAUCUUCAACAAAUUCGUC
This 69874-nucleotide long non-coding RNA is filed under the name Ananas comosus (pineapple). RNAcentral's name for it is "long non-coding RNA (ACOM_LNC030250)". Lineage: Eukaryota; Viridiplantae; Streptophyta; Magnoliopsida; Poales; Bromeliaceae. The record is from RNAcentral.